This 67880-nucleotide long non-coding RNA is filed under the name Solanum tuberosum (potato). RNAcentral's name for it is "long non-coding RNA (STUB_LNC010573)". Lineage: Eukaryota; Viridiplantae; Streptophyta; Magnoliopsida; Solanales; Solanaceae. The record is from RNAcentral.
UUUUUUUUUUGUUAGGUACUAAAAUAUUUUAAAAAAACAAACAAAACAAUUGGGGUCUUGACCUGUUCUAUGACUCAUUACCCAACCUGUUUUCACCCAAGCAAAUUUGGAUUGGGUUUGGUCUUGACCCAUCCAAAUUUGACCCAACCCGCCCAAUUGUCACCCCUUACCAGGCGUGAGUUGGAGGUGAAGCUUACGUGGAGCAAUAAUAUGGAGACGAUGCCGUUAGUAGCUUUAUCUUUGUGUAAAGCCAAGACACUUAUAAAAUGAUAUUGCUAUUGUUACCGAAGGAAAGCAUAAACUAUCUAGGAAAGCCAAACUAAAAUAUCAAUGAAGGUCACGAUUUGAGAAAGUAAUGGAUAUAUAGGAUUGCAACCUUACUUUAAGUCUAAUUCAAUGCAUUGCCUAAUCUCUCACCUAUUGUGUUUAAGACAAUGGCAUUACUUGUGGAUUCUUAAUUUCCCCUUUAGUUUUACUAAUUAACUAGAUCUUAAUUACCCAUUAAUAUCCCGAUAAAACGGGAUGCUAUCCUUGUUAACUCCCUCGAGUUCAACCAAAACGCAUUAAUUUUAUCUAAUUAAGUGAAGGCCUUAUACGUAGUCUUAAUCAUGGUAAUUUAGGCUAUAUUAAUUUAAAUAAUCCAAUUCCUUGUUGUCUUGUUGAUUAAUCUUGACCCAAUAUUAAAUUUCUUCUUCCGAGUUCAAACCAAAGUAAAUGAGUUUUUUCAAGAGUUGAUAGGAAUCAAAGAAUCAAUACAAUACAUAAUUAAUCAAAUAACAAUUAAAGCAAACAUAAUUGGUAAGAAAUAAAUUGCAAAAACAUCCCAGUAUAGGAGAGGGUAGAGUGUAGGUAGACCUUACCCCUAUCUCGUGGAGGUAGAGCGGUUUUUUCCGGAAGACUCUCGACCCAAGUAACGCAUACCAAGGUAUUUUGAAAAGGAAAAUAGAAAACAAAGAAGACAUAGCAAAUAGUAGGGAAAGCAUUACAUAAUUAAAAAAAAUGGAAUAGUAACAACAAUAUAAUGAUGCGAUGUUCAAAAAAAGGAACAACAGGUUGUAACAAAAAUCGAAGGACAAGAAACUACGAGAACAGUGCUAUUACGACUGGUAUGAAACAAAAAACAGUAGGUGAUUUUUUCCAUCUGUCCUAGCCUUGGCUUGGUGGAUAGUUAUUUGGUACGUGUUGUUGGGGAGGUGGCAGGUAUCCCGUGGAAUUAGUUGAGGUGCGCGAAUGUUGGCCCGGAGUCCCGGACACCACGGUCAUAAAAAAAUAAAAUUACCACCAAGCCGAUCCCACAAGAAAUAGAUUAAAAUUUUUAAUAAACAAAGAAGAGUUUGUUCACAACCCUAGUUGUUAAGCUUAUAAGACAACCAUCUUCCAAUCCAUACUAAUCAUCCAAAUCCAAAUAUGAUAAUAACAAGGAUGGGAUUAAUGAUAGAUAUUUUUUUUUUGAAAAACUCUUGAGCAUUGUGUCUUCUUCAAUCCAAUGUGCGGGUAACUUAAAUCUUACUUCCAAGCUCUGAUUUCCAACCAUAGAUAGCUUCCCGAACAUCCAAGAUGAAUAUUUAUAUGAUUGGGAAUGACCUACAAAAUUCUACCAAAAAUACCCCUCCAAUCCUGAUAUCCUUUAGUGCUAAGAUGUCGGGCCAUAGGCUGUGAUAGCAAGUUAGCAACAAUAGCGUAUUCCUGAUUUAGGUCAGGUCUCUUGUACUUUGAUUGUAGUUAGAGGCAUGUGAUCCACAAUGCUGCAUUUUCCAAUUUUGACCAUUCCCUCUAUGCUGUGUCUGACACGUCAGAUUCUUCCAGUUUCUUCUUUUGGCUUAAUUUUCAUUUAUUUUUUCUUAUUGUUCUCCAAACAUUCCCCAAAUUAUGUAAAACCUGAAAAUGCAGACAAAAUCGUUAAUUAUUGCUCUAAAUUCUUAUAUUAAAACACCAAAAUAUUAAGUAAAAUGAUACUUAUAAGUUGGUGUUGGUUAAUCCCAUUGACUUUUGUCCUGUUUCUGUUAAUAAUAUCUGUAUUUGUUCCCCAGUUUAUUGUUUGGCAACAUUGCUCUAAUGCACUCUCUCUGUUAUCAAACUUUAUUUGGGAUAAAGUGCACUAUUCGCCCUUAAUCUGUUGAUCAAACUACUUCCUGAGGUUUUUACUCCUCCAAGCCCCCCAUCCAUUUGGUUUUCAUCUAUUGAUAGAAUAUUCUUUUGUUGUUUUUCUAUCAAAUGAUAAAAUAUUCUUCUUUUGUUCUUUUUUCCCUCCUUGCUUGCUUAUAUUCUCACCCGAGCUUCUCUAGUUUGCUUCUCCUUUUUCCUGCUUCUUGCCACCAUGAUGUGAUGCUUUUUGAAAUGUUAUAGCUGCCGCAAUUUUUCAUGUUUCCUUCUCACUACCCAUUCCCCACUAGCUGUUCAUCUUGCAGAAGCUCUAUCUUCCUCAAUUAAUUUUGCUACUAACAGAUGUAUUAGGGCAAUACCAUUAAACCUGGAGGUCCUUACUCCUAAUAGUGUUUCUACCGGAUCUUACAACUUAAAAUGAUUGUGGAGGAAACUGUGGGCGUGGGAAGAAGCUUACAAAGAUAAAUCUUUUAACUCUGUAGAUUCACUUAUUUAUGCAAUGAUGAAGAAUGGUAUAUCUAAGGGAAAUGAUUUAUUUUCAUGCAUGUGGGACAUGCGUGAUCAGUGAUGAUAUUAAAUAAGAGAAUUUCAGCUAGUUGCAACUAUAGUGUGGUAGCUGGAGAGAAAAUCUUGACUAGUUACUUUGCUUUUACCAUGUAGAUUUCUUACAUCUUAAUGCAGAGGACUUUGAGCUCAGAAGUAUUUAUGGAAGGUCCAUAUCUGUUAAGAAAAGGCAAAAGAAUGAUGAUUAAUCUCUUGACAGAAAAAUAAAGGAAUGAAUGCUAAUGCAUUGAUAAUUCCUCAUCAUUGUUCUAUUUAAUGACAAAACAGUUAUCAAUGUGUUACUUUUUUUCCAUUUCAAAAAAAUAAUACAUUGAUAAUUUGAUUUGUCAUUAAUAGAACAAUUAUUUUUUUGAUGAAGUAAGAUGUUAUAUUAGCAGGGCAUCAAGUGGAUGCAGAGUAGUUACAUAAGAGAGUCAUGAUUAACUCUUCAGAACAAAAACUUCUUUUAUAAGUCAAGAGAGUUAACCAGAAAGCAAAAAAAUGGUCUCUAAACCAUAGUGAGGGAGCUGAUGAAAUCUAAAAGGUGAAUUAUAUCAUUUACGGGGGAUAGAUUGCUCAACUAAAUAGGUUAAAAAGACAGAUUUCAAACUACUGCUAGGAGUUGAGAUGCCAUCAAAACAUCUGACAUUCCUUUCCUUCCAAAAUACACCAAAAAAUACAUCGGGGAGUCAUCUGCCAGGUCUUCUUGAUGGAAUUGUCAACCUCGUUUAGUCUCCAGCUUUCCACUGCUUCUUUGACAUCCUCGGGAAGAGUCCAGUUUAUACCUAUUAGUGAGAUGAACAUAUUCCAAAGAUCUUUUGCCGCUGGACAAAGCAGAAACAAAUAAUUCACUGGCUCCAAGCUUUUGUGGCACAUGAAGCAUCUGGUCACUUGCUGAAACUUCCUCCUAUAUAGGUUGUCGAAGGUACGGAUAACAUUUCAGAGGGAUGUCCAGAUGAAACACUUUGGUGGUAGUUUAGUCUUCCAACUCAGUUUCCAAGGCAAGAGGUCUAUCAUAUCAUUUGAUAAGCACAAUUUGCUGUAUCCAUCCGUCACUGUAUAUAUUCCUUUUCAGAGCUGCCUCAUUUUCCCAUUUAAGUUAUCUGGCAGAUGAGGGGAUAUUGAAGCUCUUUCUAGAACUGAGUAAGUCAAUGAGCUUAUCAAGCUCCCACUCCUGCAUGUUCCUCCUGAAGUGGGGUGGCCCGUAUUCCAUCUUCUCUCUUUUGGGCCACUAAAGAGUCUGGAUCAGAGGCUACCCUGAAGAUGGUAGGAUGGGAGAUGUUGAUUGUUAAGCCUCCUAUCCUUCCUUAAUUUAACUGAGUUGCCAUUUCCAAUUCUAAAGGACACCUCUUGGAUGAAUUCAUCUUUCAAGUUGAUAUAUUGUCAAGUCUAACUCCAUAAGGGACAUUGUUCUAGUUCGUACUCCAUUUGUCUUGCCUCCCAUACUUGACAUUCACUACCUUCCAAAUACUUGUUGGUUCUUGAGCAUACCUCCACUAACAUUUCAUUAACAGAUUCUUGUUUUGCUUCCUUGAAUCUUUGAUUCCUUGUCCGCCUGUUGCUUUAGCAUAAUUACAUUUUCCCAAUUCACAAGAUGGAACUUAUGGCCUUCAUAGUUCCUCUUCCACAAAAAGGAUCUUCUGAUUUUCGUGUUACCUUUGUCAAAAAAAAAAAAAGGAUCUUCUAAUUUUUCAAUUUGAUUUUGUAUCUUGGAAGGCAUUUGGAACAGGGUCAUUGUGUGUGGGGGAAUGCUAUCAAGCAUACUCUUGAUAAGAGUCAAUCUGCCACCCAUAGAUAGAUACUGCAUUUUCCAAGUUGCCAGCCUUUCUCCAUUCUUUCAAUAACUUCGCUCCAGGUUCGUACUUCUUUGAACUUUGCACCUAGAGGGAGACCUAGGUAUUUUGUUGGUAAAGAACCAAUGUCACCGCCCAUAAUGGUAGCCAAUUCUUCCACUUCAGGGACCUCAUUUAUUGGGUAGAUCUUACUUUUCACCAUUUUAAUAUAUAACCCACAAAUUACUUCAAAAAGUAGCAAUGUCAGGUUGAGAUACUGCACCUAAGACUUCUCUGCCGUGCAAAAGAUUAGAGUAUCAUAUACAUAGAGCAGAUGAGACACAGAGGUAUAGUUAUGAACAUUGUUGCCCACCCUGAACCCUUCAAUCUACUGCAUCUGCCUUGCUUGUCUAGUAUCUUGCUAAGACCCUACUUGGCAAGGAUAAAUAAAAAUGAGGAGAGAGAGUUCCCCUGUCUAAUCCCUGGGAGAAGAAACCAACUGGAUAUCUAUUCACUAAAACUGAAUAUUUUAUAGUAGUGAUACUGAAUUUAAUUCACCCCAUACUACUAAGCUUUGUGAAAAUAUAUGACCAAUUAAGCUUGUCGAAAGCUUUCUCGACAUCCAGUUUGCAUAGGAUACCAGAAACCCUAGUUUUUAAUCUUCCAUCUAGAAGUUCAUUUGCAACCAAAGCUGCAUCAGUAAUUUGUCCGCCUUUUAAAAAAACACUCUGCUCUCCUAAUACUAACUUCCCCAUGACUGUCUCCAGCCUCUCUGCUAGGACUAUAGCAAUAAUCUUGUAAACACUACCAAUAUUGCACCCCUUUCUUUUCGGGAAUAAGUGCAAUAAAUGAGGCAUUACAAGACUUCACCAUGUGACAUUGCUGAUGAAAGUGAGAUAUAGCCCCUAUUUUUCGGGGUUGAUCAUCUCCCAUGCUCUUUAGUAAAAUGCCAUUGUGAAUCCAUCAGGGCCAAGGCUUUUGUUGGGAGCACAAGAGUUCAAAGCAUCUAGUACCUCAUCCUCUUCAAAAGACCUUUCUAACCAAGCUUUCUCUGUUAAGAUAUGUUAGCUAAGCAUCAAAGGAUACUUUGGGUCUCCCGUUUUGAUUUUCUCUGAGGUCCUUUUAAAUUUUUGACUUUUGUGCUUCAAACUUCCCAAAUGUAGUCUUAUUCCAAUCAGUGAUGUCUUUCUUCAGUUUCUUCGGCUUUUGAAUUAGAAUAAAAUUUGGACUUUCCUCGAUAUUAUAAUUUGUACUGUCUUGAAUUUAAAAUAGGAAGGUUGGGCUUCCUAGUCUCCACAUUCAAGUAGCAGAGGCCUGUGAUCUAAUAUAACCCUUGGGAGAGCUACCUGUUUUAUAACACUGAAAUUUUCAUUCCAUUAGAGGAAAUCAAGAAUCUGUCUAUUCUUGAUGCUGGCAUGGAGUCUAACCCCUCCCCCACCCCUCCUUAAUUAGGUGUAAUGAGCUCCAAAUCCUAGAUGAUAUAUGAGAAUAUUUCAUUGCAUUGGAUCUUCUGAUGCACUUUAUCUCCACCUAUUUUUUUUUUGAGAAAGAUGAAGUCUCCACCUUUUUUUUUUGACAAAGGUAAAAGAUGAAGUCUCCACCUGUCAACCAUUGUUCAUUCCAUAAGCCUCUAAUUGCUGCAAACUCAUGCCAGAGAUCCUCCCGUUCUGGAUUUGUGUGAGGUUUAUAGACCCUUGUGAAGCACCUUGUAAAAUCCCGUUGUGUACUUUUCAACAUGCAUGAAAUGGUGUAAGAGCCUUGUUGAUUCCCCUGUUUGGCCAUUGCCUUUUGUCGCGCAACACAAUGAUACCCCCACUCCUCCCAAUUGUGUUCUGAGCGGCCCAUCUAACCCAUCUAUUUCCCCACAUUUGCCUAAUCUUUUGAGGUGAUCAUUUGUGAAUCAUUGAUUUGAUUGUACUCCUCUUAUAUGCUUCAUUGAGCCCCAUGCACAUUCCAACUCAAUAUUUCAAUCUUCAUCCAGAAAAAGCCUUGUAGUACCUACCCCCCUAUGUUGCUUGGACUUAGGUGCGGGUAUCCGAGACGGGUGCGGAUAUAGAGUAGCUAGUCGAAAUUUUUUCCCUCAGUUUUGGCCUGAAACAUGAAAUAACACGUAUAUAUAUCAAGAGGAUAAGCUAAAAAGGAGACAAAGGUAAGGCCUACAAUAUUGUCGUAAAUUUGUUUUAUUUUAAUUUUAAGAAAUCAAAUUCUCAAUUUCCCCCCCAAAUUUGUCCUUGAUUUUGGUCAAAGUAUCCGGAUGGGAUUGACUGAAUUUGAUAUCCAUCUUGCGCCUUGCAUCCGCACCCACCCGGCACCAGUGUCACGUCGAGACGGGUACGACUAGGGGUGGGCAUGGUAUGGUAUACUAUGUUGCGCGGACUCUUCAUUUUUGUAGCCAAACCCGUCUCGACGCGACACUAGUGCGGGCGUGGGUGCGGGGUGCGUGUCAGAUUCGGUCAAUCCGAUCCGGGUACUUUGACCAGAGCCAAGAAAAAAAAUUGGGGAAGAAGAGUUCAGUUUCAUGGCCGCGGAAAGUUAACUUUUUCUCCGACAAAGUUGUCAUGAGAUUUGGUUGCUCCAUGGAAAAGAACAGAGAAGAGGCAAAACUUACAAGAAGAGAGAGAGGAGGUAGAGCUUUUUUCUUGUAUAAGAACAGAGGGGAGAAGAAGGCUCCAUGGGAAAGAACAAAGGAUUCAGAGUCUUUUUCUUGAAAAAGAACAGAGGAGAAAGCUUUUUUUCUUGAAAAGAAAAAGAGUAGGCGAAGGGUUUCUUGGGAGAAGAAGGGGAGAACGCUUGAAAAGAAACAGAGUAGGCGAAGGGUUUCUUGGGAGAAGAAGGGAAAGGCACGGUGCUUUAUGAAUUGUAUCAUCUAAUUAAAGUUAGGCUAUAUAUAUAUAUGAUUAUUUCUUUUUUUAUAAUAAAUAAAAGGAAUUAUAAUUUUUUUAAAAUUAAUUAGUAACAAGUUAUAAUUAAUUUAUAGAUGUAGGAGAGUGCAUUAUUUGGAUUAAACCAAAAAUUCAAAUCAAAUUAUUAUUAUUAUUAUUAUUAUAUUGAAUAUUUUUAGCCGAAUCCCCGCACCCGUAUCCAUACUCGGAUUCGCACCCCCGAAUCUUAAAAUUAAAAUUUUUCCUGAUCCGACUCUUGGAUUCGCAUCCGUCUCAGAUAUCCGCACCCGAGCAACUUAAUAUACCGAAUUACUAUACCAUACCGAAAUUUUUAAUACCGUGGUUUUGAUAUGAUAGUAUUUGGUAUGGUAUACAUUUUAAUUUUUUUGGUAUUCGGUACGGUAUUUGGUAUUUAGAAACAAUAUACUGAAAUACCGAAUACCAUACCAAAGUAUAUAGUUACAUAAAUGAUAUAAAAUACUAACAAGUAUGCAACCUAGUAUUAGUAUAUACUAAAUGGUUAGAAGUUGAAACUUUGACUAUUCUAUUUUGAUUGAAAUGUAUUUGAAAUUUAAUUGAUUAACAAAAGGAGUUGUUUGUAUUUUAUUUUGAAUAUAUACUUCUACAUGUGUAAUGUGUUAGUAUGAUACACUCGAGAUCUUUUUUUAAUUGUCAAAGUCAUAAUACUCUAUUAUAUGAGUAUAUAUUAGCCGAAGUUGAACAAAUUAUGGUUAUUGAUUUACCAUACCGUAGAAUACCGAAGCCGAAGCCGAACUUCAAAAUAUCGAACCAUGCCAAAUUGAAUUGGUAUGGUAAUGGUAUAAUGUUUUAAAAGCCGAAUACCGAAAUUACGGUAUCGAAACUUUGAAAUACCGUACUGUACCAUACCAUGCCCACCCCUAGGUAUGACAGUAAAAACAAAGAGUCCGUGUAACAUAGCAUUACCCCCUUCUGUUUUAUUACCAUCUAAGUUCAUUCCACUUCAAUCUCUCCAAUUCUAGUGAUUGCUUUUUCUUCCCCUUUGUUUUGCCUGUGAUGGUUGAUGAUUGAUGUUACUUUUGCCUCCUCUCUCUUUUGCUCCAUUAGUAAGACCAUCCUCAGUAUCUUAUAUUCAAAUCCCACAACAUUAAUUCCAAAAGCCUUGCAUGCUUUGAACAUAAUUGACUUAGUCCAUCUUGAAGUUUCAAUAACUAUAGGGGAGUUAAUUGGCAGCAUGCUUGGAGAAUCAUUCCAUGGAAGUGUAAUAUUGUCGCAAGACGAGAAUCUAACUCAGUACUACUUACUGCUUCGAACUAAUUCAGUGUCAGCUGCCUGGGUAUUGCUGAUUUGGAGUUUUCUCCCUUGCCGUCUUAAGUUGCUCGGACUCUCCAAAAAUGUUGCCGCACCCGUGUCGAAUCCUUCAAAAAUACACUAUUUUUGGAGGAUCCGACACGCAUCCGUCGACAUUUGAUGGAUAAUUGAGUGAAAAGUCAUUAGUCAAGGGGUCCAGUCGUGAUUCCUUUGUGGCCUCUAGUUGGUUUGCAAACCAGUCUCUGUGAUUUGCCAAACCAGUCCCCUGCUAGGACUUUGGCUGCUUCCUGUCUUGAUGGUAGUUCGAAAAGGAACUUGUUAUGAGGCCACGGACAUGAUUCUGUGCCCCGCUGUGACUUUCCAACGAGAAAGAUACCAUUUUUGAAUGAUUUCUGGGUUUGGCUGGAGUGGAAGGGGUCGUUGAAGCAUCCAAUCAAGCAUUUGCUUAAGAAGCUCUUUGCAUCUUCGUUUGUGUUUGUGUUCCCAUAGAGAACAGUGAUGAGGGAUAUGACGGUUAGAAUAUGAAUAGGAACAAGAAUAGUAAAUAUAAUCCUACUUAGAAUAGAAAUAGGAAUAAUAUAUUGAAUCCUACUUGAAAAAGGAUUAUAAUGUAGUGUCCUAGAUGGAAAAGGAGUCUAAUGUAGUGUCGUCUCAAUGUAAUAAUGUAGAGACACAAAUUCAAUAAUAUUAUUCUCCUAUAUUUCUCACAAUAACUAUUGAGCAGUAACUUCUUAUGACACUACAAGCUUGCCAUGUGUCUUUUUUAGCACUAUGAUUGUUCUUCUACAGGUAUUUGCCUUUUCUUUGCUUACUUGAUUGCCGAGCCAAUGGUAAACUGAUAUUCAGGAUUGGCUUUUCAGUUCCUCCCCUUUGAAACUUAAAAAUUGUAAUGAAUCCUGCUAAACUGAUAUAAGUGUCCUUGCAAUCUAUAGAAACAGAGAAGUUAGUACAAUGUUUGGUCCAAUAUUUAAGAAUACGAUAAAGUAUUUAUGGCAGCUUACAGGUGAUUUGGGGGAAUUAGGAUGCCAAAAGAUAGGGACAAGAAGAAGAAAAUAAAGAGAAGCUGGGAGCCUGGGUAAUAUCAAGAACGGAAAGAUGAGAAAGAAAGCGACUCUUUCUGUGAGCAUUUGAAGUAAAAGUUGGUGGUUGACAGUGGUUGUGUUUGGUAUGGAGUUUUCCAUUUUUCUCUUGGUUGGUCAAUUUUUUUGGAGAACAUGUUCUCUAGGAAAACAAGUUGCUUAAAAAUGAGGAAAAUCACUUCUUUGGUGGAAGUAGUGAACACUAGUUCCAUAAGUGGUCUUCCACGUUGAUCGUCUACUUCCCCUCCACAUCUCCACCAUCCCCACACCCCUACCACCCACCUCCAUCCACGUCAUGUAAUGUUUGUCUAGAUUAUAUACUAAUGUUUUUGGGAUAAUAUUUUCUGCUUGCUUAUAAAAUGCUAGAACAUAAGAAAGCCACUUGUUUUUGAGAACAUUUUCCUCAUACCAACCUCACCCCUUCCCCUUGUGCGCGCGUUCUACUCUCACAUCAGGUGGUGCUUACACCUUUGCAUAGUAUUGCGUCACAAUUGUUUUUAGCAAGUUCUAAUUUGUGUCAAGGGUAAGUAGUGCAUUUACCAAACUCUUUAAUUGCACAAUUAAUAGAGCAUCACAAUAUCAUUCAAACUAAUCUUUGCCUUUUAUAACUACAUUUACUGAGAUUCAUUUUGCUUUACAUCAGCCCAAAGUCUUUGAAUCUCAUAUUUAGAAGUGCAGUACAAAGUAAUAAUUGAUGAUAGCAUCUCCAGUUUCCGUUAUUGUCUCUCUAUUAUAUUGGCUAUCUAUAAUUGAAUUACUGAUUAUGAUAGAUCAGGCUUCACAUCUAAUAACCGUUCCGAUUUUCAUGUUUGAGAGUUGUUCUCCAAUAAAUUAUGUAUGGAGCCACCGAGGUAUGGAUGAGUAAGUGUUAUGGUUUUCUUACCUGGUUUUAUGGUUUGGUUCAAUAAUCUCUUUCGCCAAUGAAUUCGCAGUGUGUCCUUUUGGAUUUUGAUAUGCUGAAUCAUACCCCACCUCCCCCAACAUUCUGCCUAGAAAUCAACAGUGGCCAUAAUUUGAAUCAAUUUUUUACCUUAUCAAUAAAAAUAAAUCAACAGUGUCCAUUUCCCAUUUUACUCCCUUGUGUGACUUGGAACUCCCAACCUUUUGGUUGAAAGUGCUCUUGCCAAUGGAGCAACCCUCACUGUCAUUGUAAAUUGGGAUCACUCAACUAUUAUAAGUUGCCAAGUCCAGAAGCAUCACCCUUUGGCUUCACUUUUUAAAUAAGUAAUAUAGCUAUUACUUUUUGGUUUGCUAUGGUUUUCCGCUAAUCUGAGAUUCUUGUGAUUUUCUAUUGUAGAUCACUUGGGAUGAACCAGAAGUUCUGCAGCAUGCUAACAGGGUGAAUCCUUGGCAAGUUGAGUGUAUUCUGCCAAUCCCACAGUUUCUUCCUCCAUCGAAGAAAAUAAAACUGCCUAAUGGGCUGCUACCUGAUGGAGAGAGAAGUCCCUUCCCUAUGACAGGAUUGGGUAGUUUCCCUAUGACAGGGUUGGGUAGCUUCCCUAUGACAGGGUUGGGUAAUCCUACGAUUGGACUCGGUAGCCCAUCAUUGGGCAAUUGUACAUCUUUUCCUGUGGGCAUGCAGGGAGCCAGGCAUGAUCAAGUUUGUGUAUCAAGUUUAUCCAAUGUUAAAAGCAAUAACCUUGGGUUGUGCACUAACAAUAGCUUAGAUGAAGAAAUCAAGGCAAAGCUUGACAGUGUAUCCACCAAACUGAAUAUUGGCAGUUCAUAUUCAGACAAUUUAUCACCGGAUAGUCAGAGCAGUGUGCAUUUUGGGGACAAUGAGCUGAUUACAAAACCGGGUUCCAGCUCUUUGACAAAUGAUCGUUUCAGUACUUUCCAGUUAUUUGGUAGGGUCAUCCAUGUUGAACGUGUUGAGGAAGCUUUAGAUGGUUUUGGUUUUUCUGAAAGUGAUAACGUUCAAGUGUUUAGAGAGAUAGAUGAUCCAUCCAACUCAGACGUCUCACCAAAUAAAGAUGAUCCAUCCAACUCAGACAUCUCACCAAAUAAAGAUGAUCCAUCCAACUCAGACGUCUCACCAAAUAAACCUUUCAAGCUGUUUGACAAUCCUGAUGUCCAACAUGAAUGAGCCUCAGCUGUCGAAGCAUGUUCAUCAUGACAUAGCUAUAAUCCGUAAUUGCCAUCAAUUGCAAAACUGUACAGGUAAAACACUAAUUAUCUGGACUAUGCCUUGAUAGAACAGAUAGAGCCUAUUAGAACCUACUGCAGAUUUAUAUCUUCACUCUUUAUGCUAUAUAUCAAAUGUUUUUUUGUGGUUCAUUUUAUUUAUAUGAGAUUUUCAAGUACAGAUAUUAGGAGUUGUCCCUCAAAAUUUGUUUUCUAGUUUGGACUGCUUGCUAGGCUGGUGGAAAUGAAACAGUGGCUGCUACAAAUACUAUUAUUCUUUUAUAAUAAGAACUAAAGAGAACUCCCAUUUUUCACUUCUGAAGAGUAAGCAUGAUCCAAUGAUUGGGACAUUUAAUGCAUGUUAUUUCCAGUUCAUUUUAUUUCAAGUCUGAAGAAGUGAGAUUUUCAAGUACUAAUCUUAGAGAGUUAAAUUUUUUAAACUCAGAUGAAAUGCGAGGCUGGUGGAAGUGGAUCACUGAUUGCUACACUUGCUAUCAUUUUUGUGUUAAUAAUUAGAAUUAAAGAGAACUUCCAAUAUUCAAUCUUGUUUUCUAGUUGCUGUUUUUUUUUAUCCAACACUUUUUGAUGGUGUCCAGCAUGUCCUUAAUGCUGAGGAAUACACAUUUACCAGUUUCACAAAAAAAAAAAGGCUCUGUGUGGUUCCUUGGUUUGUGUUCUAUUACAAACAAAAGGUUAUAUUUGAUCUGUGUUGUGUAUCAUGACCUAGUGUUCUUUGAUUUAAUCAUGAUUUUGUGUUAGGCUCGCACUUCAGUUUGUUUUAAUUGCUUCUUGACUAAUGAUAUAACGUUCAGCUGGAUGUUUUGGAACUUGGGACAUGUCUUUUAUCUUCCUAACCCUCUGUUAUAGCUUUCGAUUGCAGUUGAAUGAUGAUUAUGGAGAUGGAUUCUUCAUAUAGCGUGCUCUGCUUGUAGUAACCUGAUUGUACUCUUUUAAUUCUUUUCAGGUAUCCAAGGGAGGAGUUGAUUCCAGCAGUGGUUCCAUUGUGGAUGUUUGCUUUCGCUUUGGUAUUCAGAACUAAUGUAGGCUUUAGUUUAAGACGUUUAGAUGUCAAGUAAAUCAUCUGUGUUUUCUUGAUAAUGAUGCCAGUGCAUGAGAUUGUACUCUAUAUGUUCCUGUUAGUACUGUGUCUUUGAAAAAGAAUCUAAUGUGGAGUUAACCUUUUAGAUGCAAGUUAGAAUUUGCUAUGAAUGGUAGAUGUUUCUUGAUUGGGUUACAAAUUUCUCAUGGUAUUAUCCUAUCUUUCUCUGUUUUGGUAACUUUUUGCCAGGUUUUAAGUGCAUAUCUUACAAUUUCCAAUCUCACUAGUCACACAUACAUGCCUCUUUUACUUUCAAAAUUCACUUACAAAUCCAUCCCAUUUGAAACUUUUAAACUGGGGAGGGAGGGAGGGAGGGAUUUAGAUCAACAUAUGCAUUGGGUGAUAUACAGGUUUGUGUUCAUCGUUAUGCAUAUUUUUCUCUGCUUAGUUUCCUUUUCCUCGUUGCUUUAUUAUUUUUUUAAUGUUUGGCGAUGACCACUGCUUGAUUCAGUUAACUAUUUAAAGUUGUACAUUAUGCAUUGAGGCGAAGGAUGGUAUUAUCACAAAAAUACUCCUGUAGUCUGACUUAAUAUAAAUAGGAGUAUAUGUUACAAGUAUUAUUCAUAAUCAUAAUUAUUAGGAGAAAGCAUUUUUGGAGUGAAAAAUGAAGGUUUAUAUAUUAUUGUGAAAUUAUGUAGUUACACCUACCAAUAGGCACCUAAACUUGUAGCAUAUUUAUGCCCAUAUGAAGUUGGGAGUUAAAUGUCAGCUUGUUGGGUUCCCUCUAGCUCUAGGAUAAGACAGACAUUGAUGAUUUCAUUGUGUCUUGGAAACCACUGAAUAUUGUUAUGAUUAGGAACCCAAACGUAUUUUUUGCGAUGUACGUCAAAUAAAGGAAUUCAUCUUUGUUUUUGUUUUCUUAAGCAGUAGUUGAAGGCACAAUGUUCUUGACAAAGACAAAUAUGAUCUUUUAAGCACAAAAGUGUUCCAUGGUGAGACACAUCAUCCACCUUAACAUGGUUUUAAAGUUUUAAGUUCCACCUUAACAUGGUUUUAAAGUUUUAAGUGUCAUAUACUUAGAAUUUGUCCUUUUAUAUUUCAUUCACACCGAAAAAUCAUUUUAAAAACAUCGAAUACCCAUCGGCUCAGUGGUGCACAUUUUUUCAAAACAAAAAAACUGAACAAAAUUUGAUAAAAUCAAACUGAAGAAUUAAAUACCCACCCCUAGUUAUGAUCAUUCUUAAAAAUGAAAACACACAACUCCUCUUCUACUCAAUGAUAAAAUGAGUUUGGGACAAGUCUGAAUAAAAGAGGGAUUGAGCUCUUUUUUUUAGUUGGGUCGGAUCUGGAGAGGUUAAAAAAAUGAAGAGAGUAAUUUUUUCAUGUCACGUAACAUUUUUGGAAUUAAAAAAUCAAUUUAAAGAUUUUUCUAAUUUGGUAUAUUUACGAAAAUGAUAAAUAUCCACCAUUUGUCAGACGAUGAGAUAUACAUGCAUCAAUUUUUAACGAGUCAUAUAUCCACUCUAAUAGCAAAGUUGAAGGAAUAUUUCCCCUUUGCUAUAAAAAAGAACAAAUGUUCAAAUGGCAAUAUCCUUAGCAAUACCUGCCACAAAUUAUCAAGAGUACAAAACAAAGAAGAAAAAUAUAAGAACUUUAAAAUAAGUACCAUUAAACCCAGAAUACGUACGAGUGAUACCAUCAAAGGAAAGCAAGAAAAAUAAAAAUGGCAGGAGCAAGCAUAGAAUAAAACUCAUUCAUAGUAAUAUUUAAUCACCAGUCGAGAAUAUAACAGUACAGGAUGAAGCUUAGGCAUACUGUUUAGUAAGAAUGUCUCAUAAGCUGUACGAAAAAAGGACAUUUAAAGAACAUAUGCUCAAUGUUUUCAUUUUCUUAUAUCCCGGAAAACCUGUGACUGGAAGAACUGCUCCCAGAACUUGCUGCGGAAUCUUCAACCAGCAGCAUAGUGCAAAUCUGUCCAUCCUCUCUACCAGUAAAGAAAUAGGAAAGUGAAGAGUCUGAUCCAUCAUCUCUUGGACAGAACAUGCUGUGUAAUUCAGAAUUCAAACUCACAAAACAUCAAGGCGGCUUCAGCUGCAGUUCAAGAUAUACACUGAGGUGAGGUAUGACAUACAAGAACAGAAUGAGCUUAAAACUGGAACUGCCCCACCCAUCCAAACUCACACUUACAUCAUCAUCCAGUUCACAUCUUAGUCCUCUAGCUGACAGGUCCCUCACCCACAUUGUACUCAAAUUCAUAAUGGAUCAAUCAGGGAUAUACCUAGAUUUAACCACAGACAGUAUGUCACCUCAUCUACUUCCUACCUGAAUUUGCAAAUCACGGAUCUUCUAAUACAAAGAAUCAGGACUUUUGAAACCAGACCUCUUUAAGCUUAAGAAAGAUUUUGUUACUCCUAGCUAACGUUAUUCUUUCAAACCCUUUUGAUUUGGCAAACCUCAGUCAUUAAGUAUAGCAAUACGCCCUUAUUGGACUCCAAACCAUAAUAGAGAUGUACAAAUUAGCUUCAGAGCAUUCAAGAAAUUCCCCAACUGAGCACUUACAGGUAUCUUGAUUUCUGCAAAUGCAACACCUUUGAAGAACAUGAACAUGCACAACAUAUUUGUGGGUUAAUUUCAAGAAGCCUCAGAUACAGAUGCUCCAAAGAAACACCAAAAUGUAUCAUGAUCCUUUACUUUAACGAGUCAGUCCAAGUGUAUGAUCGAAAUUAUCCUACUUCAACUUUAACAUAUCAAAUGAAUAUCUAAUAAAGCUUAAAAGCUCAUGUUGGGAUUACAUACACAGCUCUUUUUCUAAUAAACAGUACACACAAGUAGUGCUCGAUUAGGGUGUCUUCUGCCAUGCAGAAAUGCAUACAUUGUGUUAGAUCAAAAUAUAUGAGUUAAUACCUUCAUGAACUUUUCUUGAAAAUAGUAACACUGACCAAAGUGGAAAACAAUGCUAGAAAAGCUCCAUUUCUUGAGAGCAAAAACUCAGUCCAGGUCAAGGGCUUGGUAAUCUGAGUUAACACUUCCUGAAAUUGCUCAUGCAGAGCUUCCAAUGAGCUGGUGUUAUCGAUCACAAUAUCUGCCUUUGACCUCUUCAGAUCCAGGGACAUCUGCGCAUUUAUCCUGCUUUUGGCCUCCUCCUCCAUAGAUCCAUCUCUAGUCAUGAGCCGCUGCAGCUGUGUCUCAGGGUCAACCCAAAUGACAACAAUGGGUUUAGUCCAUUUAUCUAUCUUGGCCUCAAACAAAAGAGGAACAUCAAGAACAAUUAUGGAGCAACCCUUUAUCCACAGCUUCAAAACUUCCAUUAACAUACCAUGUGAAAUAAAUGGUGCUAGCAACCUACAUAGACCGCACCAAUUCAACUCUUAGGCAAUCUAAUAAAACUAGGACAAAAUAUUAUUUAGAGUAAAUCAAGAAAUAUAAAAUUUCUAUGAACCAAUAAAUCUUAUAGUAAGACAGAUUUUACCAAUCACAUUUGACCUCCAUAUUUUGUUGUUCAACGCAGUUUUGCGCCAAUAGACCACACGCAGGCUUGGUUAUUCAUGAAGAAACUUUGCCAAAAUCUCAUAGGAGCGGCCCACUCCACUUCUCAUAUAGGUGAAUUCCAUCAAGUGUAUACUACUUUAAAUACACCAUCCUUAAGGACUAUAAAAUCAUGAGUUAAUAACUCAUCCUCACAAUUAGUAGUAGUUCAAAAACUCACUUUUAGUGCGCAAUGUCAAUAUUGACUUGUUAUUACCUAUAUGAACCUACUUCAUGGGAUCUCCAAACACAUAGGUUGGGUUAUCAUAUUUAUUGAGAAUCAUAUCAGCCUUACCCCAAUCUCUUUUGAUGUUUGAAGGGUUAAUUUUCUUCCCACGGGUUUAGUCAGGGAUUGGCCAAAUUCACUUCUGACUUCACAUACUCAAUGGAAAUUCAUUUGCAACUAAUAUGUUUUGUACCAGGAGGUAGAUCAGUCAAAACCCAUGUUUUACUUCUCUUGAUAAAACCAAUUUCUAUUUUAUUGUCUCGUUCCAAUAUUCAACAUCAGAAGAAUAUAUAGUUUCAAAAUAAUUUGAUGGUUCAUUAUGGACAAGAAGAGUUUGAAAAUCAUUUCCAUAAGAAAAAUAUUCUUUUCUAAGCCUUUGCUCCUUCUCAGUUUCUCAUUAGAGGUAAUCCCUAAUAUUUGGAGGUGACAUUUGGUUUUUAAUGACAUUUAUCCAGAGUGCAUUCUGCAAAAGAUUCAAUGCAGAUAAUAGAACUAUCCUUUCUUAUGCAGAUGUAGUUCUUUUAGCACAUUCCUUUUAAGGCAAUUACUAGAGCACUUUAACUUAAACAGAAUAUAGUACUAUAUUUCUGCUUCUCUUGAUUUGACAAGAAGUAUCCAAUUGAAAUAGAAAAUACAGGAUUAAUGAGCUGCCAAUCUAUGCCUUUUUUUUUUUAACCUUUUGACAUCACUUUAUAUCAGAGUAACAGUUGAGAAUGAAAAUUUAAAUAGCAAUAAAGCAGGAGUACUUGAGCAGUAGAAUUUCACUCAGUAAUUAUGUCAUAGUUUCAUAACUAUUUUACCUAUUAAGAAGCUGACGUUUUUCAAGAUCAGAGAAUACUAUUUGACCUAGCUUUGCACGAUCAACUUCUCCAUUAUCCAAUAAGAUGUCCUCACCAAAUGCGGCCACAACCUUUUUCCAACCACCAGUUCCUUCCAUCAAAAUGUUCUACAUAAUUUCAUAUUUUUGUCAGUAAAGAGCUUUACUGAGGAUUUACAAAAUUUAACAGAUGGAUAUACAAUAACUCAAGUACAACAAUUUAAGACUCUUUAGAUUUGAUAAUAAACUAAAUAGACCUAGUAAUAGAAUGAGAAAAGCAAGAGGAAAAGUAGUUACACGAGCUACAACGUCAGCAUCAACAACGGGAAUACCAUGAGCCUUGAAAAGGUUGGAGACAGUGCUCUUCCCUGAAGCAAUUCCUCCGGUCAGUCCAACUAUCCUCAUUCUAAUUUCGGGCACAAAUCAAGUAAUGAGGAACAACUAAGGCUGCUCAAAGUCAGUUGCUUCCUCUGCCUUACUUUUCCAUUGGCAAACGACCUUCUUGAUUCGGGGAUAUCUUCAAUAUCAAUUUCAAACUGAACAAUAAGUUGCAGGUUCAUUACCAACAAAAAAAUUAAACACAUAACUUCUGUUAGCACCCUAAAUUUAUCAAGUAGUAUAAAAUUACAGAUCCCUAUAGUGAGGUAGAAACAUUUUCAAGAUAAAAGAGACAAAUAUGAAAAUGAAAUUCAAAUUGGUGGAGAGCACCAAACAUAAUGUAACGUCCCACACUGUCGUGCUAAGGUUUGAAUCAUUCGACGUAUGUGAUUUGACCUGACCCGGAAAAUUUUGGUGGUUCUUUGGUGUUUAUAGGACUUAUUUAUGAUUGGUGAAGUGUUAUGUAAGUUCAGAGUCAAUUAAAGAUUGAAAAGAUCAAGUUUGAAGGUGUUGAGCUAUGUAUGGUGUGAAGUACGAUCGUACAUUGCAUGUACAGGUUGUACCUGCAUCGUGGUGAAGCUACAAUUUAGCAAGGGAGGAGCCAAGUACAUACCGUACACAGGGCCGGCUCUUGCCUAUGAAUUUUUAGGCCUCAAAUUUCUGUAAAAAAAAAUCAUGUUUAAUUUUUUCAUGAAAAAAAUUAAUUAUUUAUAAUUAAAAAAAUAAAAUAAAAUAAAUAUAUAUAUAUAUUCUUCGCUAACACUCACAUUAUUUAUCCUUUUUAACCCCUUCUGUACUUUAUUUCUUCAAAUCUUUGAUAGUUACAAUAAUAUUCUGUCAAAAAAAAUCAAUAGCCAAAAAGUGUUGAACAAAGUAAAUUACAAAUAUUUUUUUUAUUUCUUCGUAAUUUUUCAUAUUAAAGUAGGGUAUACCAAAUUAUCAACUUUUUGAAUCAGAUUUUAUGAUUCUAACUCUCAUCUUUAUUUAAAAUUUAUCAACUUAUUACUUAUAAAACUAUAUUAUUGAUUCGUAUAAUAAUUGUCUCAAUAAAAUGAUGUUUUUCAAUGUUGAAUUGAUAAAGUCUUGCUUAAAAAUAAUAAUUAUAAAAAGUAUUUGAAAAAUUCAUUUAUAAAAAAAAUAUUAAGGAAUAAUUUACAUAUAAAAAUUUAGAAAAAUAAAUAAAUACAGAUACAAUUUAUUUAAAUUUUAGACCUCUAAUUAAAAUUUCGCUUUAGGCCUCUUUAGGUAUAUAUAAUGGAUGGAAAACUAAUUUGAUUAGAUUAAUUGUGUAGUUCAACUGAAGAAAUUCAUUGUUACUUUCACAAGAUGUCUGCAUUAAGGAAAAGUCUAAGAGAGCUUCCUUUAGUCUGCUCAUGAAUGAGAAUUGGUUGUAUAAGUUCAUAAGACAGGGUUUUAACAUCACAAUAAACAAGCAACAAUUCCUCCAUUCAGCAGUGUAAACCAACAGCUUGUAACACAAAAAUUCUGCCUUAAAAGAAAAUCAUUGACUCUAAACGCACAGGAACAGAGAAUGUCAUAGAUUGCACUUCGAAGGAUCAUUUAGGUGUGAACAAUUUUCAACUAAGCGAUUCGACCAAGCAGUCAACCUACCUAUCUACCCCAAAUUUCACUCAAAACCAACUCCUAAUAGCGCUCGGGUAAUCAGACUUCAGUAGUGAAUAUAUUGAGCACAUAAUAAAAUGGAGAUCAGGUUUAACCAAAGGCUCAAGUCAAGCAAACUAAUAAAAGAACCCAUUUCAACAGUUCAAAAUUCAUGGCUAUAGAUUAGCAUACUGCUCCAUGUAACAGUUUCCCUCUCCCCAAUCUCCACUUCCAAACAAAUUGGUCAAAUCUGAACAAAACACUUUAAAAUCAACCCGAACUACCCCACGCGCACUUAUACACCUCUCCAAAUGUCGCUCGGCUACUCAAAACUCAACCGGCAUAUGAAAUAGUCUCUCAGACAAUUUGUCGAACACAUUGCAGGCAGAACUUUAACCAAACUGUUUUGCACUAGCUUGGUGAUUGACUUACCCUCUCAUUUACUGGAAAGUAUAGUUCAAUCCAGAACAAAUACAUCACAAUCAGAAUUGAACAAUUUGUGCAAAAAGAAAAAUUAUGUAAUAGAAAGAAAGUAAGGAGAGAAAAGUGUAGAGGAGAAGAGACUUUACCUGAGCCUGAGCGCCACUGAAAACCUCCACUAGUGGUGAAGUUGUGUGAUCGUGUAAGUGAGCGAACCUGUUAAGAGAAGGGAAAUGGAUCAAGUAUGGUAUUUGUAAGCUAUGGAUUCUUAAAUGGCGUAAAUGAAUAAUUUUGUUGUUGGGAGUAAUUAAUAUGGUCAUGAAAAAAUAUAUAUUCUUCUUGAUAUAUAAUUAGUAGAAGCAGGGGGUGUUUACAUUUGGCUGAAAAAUCGAACCAACUAAUUUUAAAAAUUGAACUCUAAUUUGAUUUGAUUUUAAAAUCCAUAAUAGUUGAUUUGCUUUUAUACUGUUUUUUUUAUAAAAAAAAUACCUGAUUAAACUGAUAAAUUAUAUAUACAAUUUUUUUUUAUAUAUCUACAUAUACUAUUAAUUUUUCAUAAAUAAUUAUAAUUUUUUUAUACCUUUUAAUCACUAGUUUGAUAUAAAUCUACUUAUUUCACAUGCACUAAUUUCUUACAAAUAUAUUUCCAAGCCCAAUACUGGUUGUUUGGUAGGGUGUAUUAGGAUAAAUAGUUCAUCUAUUAUAUACUCGCUCCAUUCUAUAUUAAUUUAAUUUUUGAGUCAUUUUCCAUUUUUCAAAUUAACUUAAUUGUUCAGUUUUCAAGACUACUUUUAGAGUGUUAUUCCAAUUUUACCCUUCAUUAGUUAGUAUUGGAAUUCGUGAUUAAUUAAUUUAGUUAUUUUAAUCAUAAAUUUUUCAAUAAUUAAUAAGGGUAAAAAUGGAAAACUAUAUUCAAUUUAUAUCUUAAUCUACUUUUCUUAAAGGGUGUGAAACACCUCAAAAAUUCAAUUAAUAUGGAAUGGCGGGAGUAUGAUACUCCCUUUGUCCAACAAUAAUUGUCCACCAUUGACUUGAUACACCCCUUAAGAAACUAUAAAUAGAAGGGUAAUUUUACUAUAUCACCCUUUGAAUAUAAUAAAUACAAUGUCUUGAAAAAUGUAAUAAAGAUAUAACUAUAAUUAAUGAUAAGGGUAAAUUAGGAACUAAGUGUAAAAUUAUUCAUUGAUUUCAUAAAGUGGACAAGUAUUGUUAGACUCCUAAAAUAGUAUAGUGGACAACUAUUGUUGAAUGGAUGGAGAAUUAUUUAGUACUAUAUUUAAUAGAAAUAAUGGGUAUAAAUACCCUCCAUUUAGUGGUAUUAGUUACACAUAUAAUUUAACACCAUGUGAUUAAUAUAUUUAAAGACAGAAAUAUCCUCAAAUCAUUUUACCAUUUUGUUUAUUUUUUGAUUUUAUGUUUUAUAUUUGUACUGGUAGAUUUAUUUAAAUUAAUUAGCUUACAAAUUUUAUUAUUUAGAGAGAGUUGUUUGUUGCUAAAUAAAUCCAAUACAAUAUUUGAAAUGUGAGUUGUUUAACAUUUACUAAUUGAUCACAUGAUGUGUGUGUGGUUUUCUAAUUAUUUGUGUUUUGAAUAAUUUAUAAAAUUGCAUAUAUACUAAAACUACACCAUGCAAUUUUUAUGUGCAAAUGUAGACGGUUUAUUCGAUUUUAGUAUUGUUUAUAAAGGAAAAAUUCUAUAAAAUAGCAAACUAUUAAUUCAAAUUAAAUGUUAUAACCACAGUUUCAUUUAGUUGGAAUCCGUAGCAAACACUUGACAUUCGUCUCUCCCUAGAGAAUCUCGCUUGCCACUCUCCCUCGCCUCUCUCACUUUUAUACAAACACAAAUGUAUAAAUUGCGUUUGUGUUUGUAUAAAAGUGAGAGAAAACUGUAUAUACAACUACAAAUACAUAUAUUUUCGUCCUAUACACUUUAUAAUUAUAUAAAUAUAGAUCUUCACCUCUAGUUCUCUUUUGCAUUUCUCUCUUUCUCGCUUUUAUACAAAACACAAAUUAUACAAAUUACAAUGUGUAAUUUGUGUUGUAUAAAGAGAGAGAGAGAGAGAGAGAGAUUUGAUAUACAAAUGUUUUAUUUCGAUUCAACGUAAUUGUAUACAAAUUCAAAUUGUAUGCAAAUAUACAAACACAAUCAUUGAUACAUAUACAUAGUAGUUACAUAUAUACAAUUAUCUAACCGAUAUACAUAUACAAUCGCUGCGCUUUUAUACAAACGAAUGCCUGCUUGCGAUUUAGACAAAUCUGAUGCUCCAUAGCAAACAUAAAAAUUUGCUAUGGAGCGCAAUUAUGCAAACUAUAGUUAUAGCAUACCAAUAUGAUUUUUAUGUUUUGCUAAACCUAAAAUUUACUCUUUAUAAAAUUAACGUUUUGUGAGUGAUCAAUUUAUUAAGUUGACAAUUGUUUACCCUCAAAUAAUUCAAGUGAGAAAAUAAUAAACAUGACAAAAAUGUUCUUCUCCUAGCUAGUUAGAAAGCUACAAAAAAAUAAUAUUGUCCGGGAAUUAUAUGAAAUAGAAAAUCUCAUAAUAAUUCAAGAGUAUAAUUGGAAAGAAGUUUUUAGGAGAAUCUUACAAACAGAAGAUUAAGUGGGAAGCAAUGAAUCAAACAAUUGAUAAGAAAUAACCUCUGCAUUACUAAUUCUUGCCUAACUAAUCAAACUGCUAUUUGUCUGACCCACAUAAAAUCCGAUCUCAGUUAGACUAUUUAUUCACAUAUGGAGGCAAAGUUAUAUCAUGACGUUCGAUGAAGCAAACAAUAGUUGCUACUUCUUCAAAUCAUGCAGAGAUAAUAGUCAUUCAUGAAGCCAGUCGAGAGUGUAUAUGGUUGAGAUCAAUGACUCAACAUAUUUUGCAAUUAUGCGGUCUUUUUGUGCAAACAAAGACUCCAACAAUAUUGUAUGAAGAUAAUGUUGCUUGCAUAGCUCAAUUAAAGGGAGGAUAUAUCAAAGGAGACCGAACAAAGCAUUCUUUUUCACACAUGUUCUUCAACAAAAUGGUGAGAUAAAUGUUCAACAGAUUCGUUCGAGUGAUAAUUAAUCUUCCAGAUUUAUUCACUAAGGUAUUGUCAACAUCAACAUUUGAGAAGCUAAGAUAUAAGAUUGGAAUGCGUCGUCUCCGAGAUAUCAAGUAAAGUUUUCAUCAGGGGGAGUAAAAUACGCGAUGUACUCUUUUUCCCUUAACCAAGGUUUUGUCCCAUUGGGUUUUCCUAGUAAGGUUUUAAUGAGGCAGCACUCAAGGCGUAUUACAAGAUGUGUGUACUCUUUUUCCUUCACUAGGCUUUUUCCCACUGGGAUUUUCCUAAUAAGGUUUUAACGAGGCACAUUAUCUAUAAACAUCCAAGGGGGAGCGUUACAAAUCCAUUUAAUUGUGGAUGUUUAUUUUCAUCAAUAACCUAACGUAAUGUAUUAAUUUAAUGUAAGCCUUAAAGAUGUAUUAACGUAUUUGGUUUAAGAUUGUAAACGGGUGAAUUCUACAUCCUAUAAAAAGGUAUUCUUUACCCUUAAGAAUGACACACUUGAAGAGAUUAAAUAAGGGUCUCAACUUUAUAUUUUCCAUCACAAUUUGUCUCCCUAUAUUAUUUAAGUAUUUUUGUAUUUUCCUCUUGUUUUACAACAAAUAUGACAAUUUAGCCUUACUAAUAAAAAAAUCGGUAUAACCAUAAAAUAGAGGUGGAGUCACAAACCAAUCCAACAUGCCAAAAUCUCUCUACCAUCCUCUCCUCUUUCAUCAGGAACAAAUAUACAUUGAGCUUUUUGAAUGUUCGAGCAUCCAUUACUUUCGUUCGAAUAGACUAUAUUUAUAUAGAAAUUUCAAGUAAUGGUAUUAAAUUAAAAAAUGAGCAUCCAUAUAAGAAAAUGUGAAUUGGCACGGGUGGUCAUACAUGGGUGCUAAAGGUUGGCAACAAAACAUUCCAAGCUGCUCUUUUGGUGAUUUUUUCUAGAAAAGCUUUUAUUAAAAUUGAAAACGUUUUUUUUUAUCCAAAAUAAUAUUAUUAUAGUUCUUCAUAUUAAUUUUUUUGAUAUUGUGUUUAGAUAUGCUUGUCUUUUUUUAUGAGUCAUAACUUUAUUUAUUCUAUUUUGUGAUUGAUACUUAAGAGAAACACCAUGACUUUAAAAUUCUGAAUCUGACAUUGGACACAUUUGUUGAUUUCUCUGCCAUUGGAGGCCUUUUUUCACCGCCGCCAACAAUCCCAAAAUCCAGUAUAAACAAUAUUCCCUUCUCAUACUCAUUUAAUUAUAUAGAUAUGAUUGUUCAAAAUCGAACCGAAAUUGAUAAUUUGAAUCGAAAAAAAGUUAUUAGUUAUCGAUAAUAGGUUAUUAGUUUAACGAUUUUGAUAACAAUUUUGAUUUUCUUUAUUAUCAGGCUAUCAAUUCAUAACAGUUUGAAGUUUUUUCUUAACAGGUUAAUCGAUAAUCCAAUAGUAAAUUGAUAAACUAUAUUUAUAUCAUUUGGUAUAUAAAGUCUUUGACUUAGAAUUUAGUUUCCUAUUUUUAUUUCUAACAGUCUCAAACUUUCGAUUAUAAGAUGCAAUGUAUCAAUUCAUGUGCAGGGUUGAUUUGAUUUGUCACCAUGUUUCUAAGUGAUUUUCAAUAAUUUAUUUUUAUGUCGAAUCUUAACAAUUAAAUCAAUAACCAAACCGAUAACGAUCAAUAACAGAUAAAUUGAUAAUCGAUAAGUUAAGUGUUCUAUGAGGAUUUAUCAUGUCCACAAGUCAAUAACUAAUCAACUUUAAAAUUGGACCUAACUGACCGAAACAGCACUAAUUACUAGGGGUGAUCCCCAUGAUGAUUUUAUCAAAUAUUGUUAAAAAUAUCUUCUUGAAAAUUCCUAAUCUCAACAUUGUCUAAUGUAAUAAUUUGUCGGUAAUUGCCGAUAUAACACUUCCAUUAAAACCUUAAACAAAGCAUAUAGAGGCAUCAUAUCUUAUUUUAUUAUAGAAAUGAUCUCUUAUUGAAAGAACUUGGAAUUAGAAAAAUAGCUCGCCUAGAUUUAUGUUUUUAUUUUAUUCUUUAAGAAAUUUCUUAAAUAAAAAUAUUCAUACAAUUAACUUUAAAGUAAUUAAAAGAUCAGCACUAUUUGACUAAUCAUUAUUUUUUAUAUUAGUUUAGUAAGUAAUAAAUAGAUAUGAAAAUUUGUUACAAUAAAAUUAAAUUAAGGGAGGUAAGCAUAAUUUCGUAAACUACAAAAAAGGUUAGUGUGAAUGAACUAAAUCUGAAGAAAAGUCUCUUAAAUUAUUCUUAUUUUUUAAUAUUUUAAUUUAAAAUGAAGUGCUUAUAUAUCAUACAUUUUUUUCAAAUAAAUAAAUAAUAAUAAAAAAGUACUUAUAUAUUCAACGGAGAGUUUGCUUUGGCAGAGGACUGAUAAAAGGGUUUUCACUUUAAUUAUGGAAUGCGACCCAAAGUAAAAAAAGUAGAAAGAGUCAAUUAAUGAGUCGACACUUCACUCAAUGAAAGCUUAAAUUGAGGAACCGGAAAUUGCCUUGCAAGUUCGUUUUCUACUUUUAUUUAAACUUUUGCUAGUUCUUUUACAGGUUUCUUUUUCUCAUUUGAAUUCACUUCGUAAAGUUCAUAUUGAAUUAUCAAAUGCGAUUUCUAGCCAGGGAAUUCGAACUCGAACUUCUUGAUUUAGGAUGAAGGAGUAUAGUUAAUAGUUCUCUUACAAGUUGUUAUAUCUUCUAAAGAAACAAAACAUAUUUAUCUUAUAUAAGUAGGGGUAUGCAAAAAUUGAAUCGAAAAAAAUUGAUAUUGAUUUAUUGCUAUUAGGUUAUUGGAUUAACGAAUUUUUAAUAAUUUUGUAAAUUUUUUUAUCGUUAUCGAUUUAGAUUUGAUUUUUUUAAUAUUAUUUUAUUAGAUAAAUUGGUAACUCAUUAAGAUAGUAGAAAUUUAUUACUUUAUCACUACCUAAAUAUUAAAUAUUCACAUCAAUAUCUUAUUGGUUAGUGUCUUUUUCGUUUAUCAUUCAAUUCACACUUCGUUGUGAUUUUGAGUUCACAACUUCAUAUUAUACAAAACAUCAAAAAGUAAGAAUCACAUUCCUCUUAAUUUAUGUAUUAUAUUAUUAUUAUUUCUAUUUUAUAAACAUUUUGUAAAGUUACAUUAUUAACUUGUCAUAUCAAAUUAUUGAAGAAAUCAUAUGUUUGUUUUGUAAGUAUUUUCUUAUUAUCGAACCGACCAAAAUCAAUAAAUCGAAAAUCAAAAAAAAAAAUCCUAUAAAAGGAGAAAAGACAUAAAGUGACACCUGAAGUUGUUCCGAAUUUUCAAAAAGACACCUAAACUAUGCAAGUGUCCUAUUACCCCCCUAAACAAUCCUGAACUGAUAUUAUUACAUCAUUUUUUGUCCACCUGGCAUGGAGAGUGUAUGCACUCUCUUAAAGAGCGUGAACAAACUAAAAAAUGAAUAUAAUUUAUUUUACAAGUAUUUUGCUAUAAAAUAUAUUUUCUGUUUUCUAUUAUUUAACUUUUUCUCCUUAUUAUUUUUUUUCUUUUCUUUCUUCCUUCUUCAAAAAUUCAUUGAAGUUUCUCACUUUCAAUGUCACCUUUUACCACAACUCCACCUCCCUUUUUAGUACUAUUAGUUUAACUCUCUUCAAUUUUAAAAUUAUAUCUAAAUAUUUUGUUACAUUUCGAACAAUUUGAUAAACCCAUUAGAUUUCAAGAUGAUUAGUAGGAAUUAUUUAGUUUUUUAUCCAAAUUUCAAUUAAACUUUUUCAAUUUUCGGAGAAUUCUGAUUCUUUCAGACUUAUCAUUUCUCGUUUUGAAGUAAUAUGAAAAUGAGAUAAAUUAAUUGAUGAUACCUUCAAAAUUUUGAUUUUUCUUAGAAAAAUAAUUAAUUUUGUUAUCUAUUACUCAACAAAGUCUAGAAAAUAGUAUAAUUUUGGAAAGAAAGAAAUUUGACCGAAGAAGAAGAAGAAGAAAGAAAGAAAGAAAAUGAAAGGGCAUAACUUGACGUGGGGGUGGGGUGAGGUGAGGGUGGGAGGUGAAAAAGAAGAAAGAAAGAAAGAAAAUGGAGGGAGGGGUAGCUUGAAAGUAGGGGUGGAAGAUGAAAUAGAAUUUAAAAUGAAAUUAAAAUUAAAAUAAGUCAAAAAGUAAGAGAGAAAUAAAGAAAAAUUUUAAAAUGAAAAAAAUAAUUAUAUUUUAAAUUAAAUUAACACGUGUCACACAAUGAUUGGUAGCUCUUGCCAUUUAAAAUUUGGAAUUGAUCGAAAAAUGAUGUAAUAAUAUAUGUUCGAAAUUAUUUAGGGAGAUAAUAGGACGCUCGCAUAGUUAAAAUGUCCUUUUGAAAAUUCAAAACAACUUCAAGUGUCACUUGUGUCUUUUCUCCCUAUAUAAGUAGUCAUUUGAUUUUAUGGUUUCUAUCCUUCACCAAUGGGUAAUUUGCACUCACCAUGUUAUGAAGUUUUCUUGAAUAUUAGGGUCAUUUGAUUAAAUGGUCUCUACCCUUCACCAAUGGGUAAUUUAUACUCACCACGUUAUGAAGUUUUCUUGAAUUUUAGGGGAAAAGAUGUGCGCAAAACAUUUUUAGAUCAUCUCUAUAAAGCAUUAUGUGAUGUUGAAAUUAAUGUGUUUAGAGAUGAUGAUGAACUUCCAAGAGGCGAGGACAUUUCACGGAGUUUACAUGAAGCAAUUGAAGAGUCAAUAAUUUCUCUUGUUGUUUUCUCCAAGAGUUAUGCCUCAUCUAAAUGGUGUCUUAAUGAGUUGGUCAAAAUUCUUGAAUGUAAAGAAAAUUUUGGGCAGUUCAUUUAUCCUAUAUUUUAUGAUGUUGAUCCUUCUGAAGUACGCCAUCAAACUGCGCAAAUUGGUGAUUCUCUUGCUAAACAUGAAUUAAAUACGAGUCCAGAACAGUUGUGGAAGUGGAGAGCUGCACUUACUGCGGUUGCAAGUUUAUCUGGAUUUCAUCUUCCAAAUCUUUUUAACGGGUAAUUUCAAAAUAAUUAUCACUCCUUUUGUUCGUUUUUAUUUGUCAUUUAUUUCUAAAAUAAAUUUUCAUUUUUAUUUGUUAGUUUUGACAUAUUAAAAAAAAACAUAACAAUUUUUUUUUAUAUAUUUUAUCCUCAACAUUAAAUACUUAUUUUUCAAAUAAUUAUUUUCUUAAUGAUUUGUUAAGUUAAAGUGGAACAAGUAAAAGUGAUCUAGAGCCCAUUUGAAUUGAUUUAAAAAAAUAACUUUUAAAUCAAAAAUAAAAAGUCAAAUUGAAAUGACUUUUAAAUCAAAAAAUAAAAAGCAGAGGAAGACUUAUUUUUGGUUUCUGACUUAUUUUAAGUCAUUUUUUACCUUGCCAAAAACUUCGUAACUUAUUUUAAAUCAUUUUUGACUUAUUUUAAGUUAUUUUUUUUAUAUUUAUCAAACACUUUUAAAAGUAAAAAACUGACAUAAAUUAGGUUUGAUCAACUUUUAAAUCAAUCCAAAUGGCACCUAGUAUUUUUUCCUUUUAUUUUCUUCUCUUCCUCUUCUUUCUUUCAGCUGUAAAACUUACUACCAGAGUUCAUCUCUUCCUCCAUUCGAGUCCAAACUACAUCCACAUACUAUGGUAUUCUUUUUCUUUCCUUUUCUUUGUCUUCUUUAUUUAAGUCCCUGAGCAUAUCCAUUUGCCAUCUUUUUUUACAAAAUCUAACAUUAUUAUUGAAUUUACGGUUAUACAAGAAGAAUAGGUGCAUAAAUGAUAGAUUCACAAUAUUUUAAUAAAUUUUGUUAACUGAAAAAGUUUGUUACAAUGGUGUUUUAAUGGCUAAUAGUUGAUUUUGAAAAUUUACUUGAUAGUGGAGAGUGGGAUUUCUAUCUAUGGUUUGUGGUGUGUCGGGUUGACGUAGUGAUGGUGGAGCCAAGGUUAGGAGUUUGGGAGUUCUAAAUCAAUUUGUUUGGGGGUUCACAUGUUAAUAUACAUAUAUUUAUUUAAUUUUCUAAUACAAAUAUAGGGCUACGAAAAAGUUAGUGGGUUCGUCCGAAUUCAUGAACCCCACCUAGCUCCGACUCUAGUGGUGGUUUCAAGAUGGUGUGUGAUUGACGUAGCGAUGGUGGUUUCAAACAUUUUGAUUAACCAAAACAUAGGAAAAUUGGAAAACAUUUUCUUGAUACCAAACAAAAUACCUUUUCUCCCAUACAAAAUAGAGUAAUAGAUAUAGUUUUACUACUACUACUACUUAAAAAUUUUCUUUUCUGCAGUCAUGAAGCAAAAUUCAUUGAGGUGAUUAUCCAGGAGGUAUUGCGUAAAUUAAACCACAAAUAUAUAGACAUUGCAAGGCAUCCCGUAGGAAUUAAUUCUCGUGUCAGUAAACUGAUAAAUAAGUUGGCAUGGACGAGGGCAAGCGAUGCCAUAUAUGUUGGAAUCUGGGGAGUGGGAGGUGUUGGUAAAACUACCUUAGCAAAAGCCAUCUUCAACCAUAUUUCUCCAAAUUUUGAUGGUAGCUCCUUUCUUGAUGUUGGAUCACAAGUUUCAAGGAGGGAUAUCGGUUUGGUUGCUUUGCAAGAAAAGCUUCUCAAGGAUACUCUCAGGGAAAAAAUUGAAGUCAGCUGUGUCGACCAUGGAAUUCACUUGAUUAAACAAAGGCUUCAAUCAAAAAAAGUUCUCAUUGUCCUUGAUGACGUUGCUGAUGUUGAAAAAAUAUACUCAUUAGCAGGAGGGAAGCACUGGUUUGGUCCUGGCAGUAGAAUUAUCAUUACCACCAGGGACGAACACUUGCUGAAAUGUUCCACAGGUGAUGUAAAAUAUGAGGUCAAGUGUAUGACCGAAAGUGAAAGUCUACAGCUUUUCUGUUGGCAUGCUUUCAAGAAUCCCCUCCCUCCAGAAGACUUUGUGGAGAUCUCUGAAAGUCUGGUAACAUAUGCACAAGGGCUUCCAUUAGCACUUGAAGUUUGGGGAUCCUUUUUAUAUAGAAGAAGCAUGGUAGAGUGGAAAAGUUUCAUUGAGAGAUUGAAGCAAAUCCCUCACGAUUCGAUAGUAGAGAAACUGAGAAUAAGCUAUGAUGGUCUCCCUGAUCAUUCAACUAAGGAAACAUUCCUUGAUAUCGCAUGUUUCUUGGAAGGAUGGGACAAGGAAGAUGUUUCUAAAGUCCUCAGCAGUUGCGGUUUCUUCCCUGAAAUCGGAAUUAAUGUCUUGAUCGAGAAGAGUUUAGCAACAAUAAAUGAAUCCAAUCAACUGAGCUUGCAUAAUCUGAUUAGAGAUAUGGGAAGAGAAAUUGUUCGUAGAGAAUCCAAAUAUCCAGGUGACCGUAGCAGAUUGUGGGAUCCUGAUGAUAUUCGUGAUUUGAUUACUAGGCACAAGGUAAUGGUUCAUUCUACUUUGAAGCCUGACCUAUACUUUCCCAAGAUUAGAAAACAAGGUCUCCUCAAAAUUUGUUUUAGAAAAAGUUCUUAAGCACUACCUUAAUAAGAAGCUUACCAAUGGAAACUUGCUUUACUUUUUAGCUAGUCAAUGUGGCACACAUAACUUGCUCUCAUGCGUCUUCUGAAGUCUUUAUAUAUUCAUAUUAAAAUUUCUUCUUCUAAGGAUUACAAAUAUCUGAAAAACAGUUGAAAGUCAGAGAAAAGUGUUUUAUGGUACUCCCAUUGUCCUGCAAUAUUGAAAUUUUUUGCCUCAUCACUAUAAGACAUCCUUUGUGCUUUAUUCAAAUUUAGAGACAUUCUUUAUGCGUUGAAAGAUCAAAAGGACUUUUUGGUUCAAAGAUUUGCACCUAUGAAGUGGCCAGUUUUCACCUCCAGGAAAAUCUUUUUUAAAAAAAAGGUAACAACAGUAGGAACAACAGCAACACUGCCAAAAAUUAGCUAAACAAAGUAUAACAUAUUUAUUUUUUUCGGUUACAAACAUCCCCUCUCUGCAUUUAACACAAGGAUCUAUUGUAAGAGCAGCAUGUGCUACCACAUUACUCUACCUUUUGGUUCAUCAUUUAUAUAUAUGUAUAAGAAAAUUUAUCAUUUACGUAUAAAUAUUAUAUUCACAAUUAUAGUAUUUUAGAAGCUCUGCAUGUAUUGGUAAUUUAAUGAUUGACCUUAUACCAGAUGUAGGUCCCAAUCCAUGUAGAGUAGUUUUUGCUUAUUAUUCUUCCUAUUUUCCUUUUUGCUUCUUUUUUAGUCUCUUCCUCAAGGAAUUAUAUCAAUUGGGCAUGAGAAGCACACAACCAUAGCCAUUGCAAUAUUAAGCUUUGAAUUGAGCCAUUAGCUAAUGAGGUGCUUCGCUUUUCUUUCAUUAUGGAAAAGAAUUAAUAGUUUGACCCCUCCACUUCCGACUUUAUUCACCUGACAUCUCUUUCCUUAAUCUUGAUCAAUUUAUUUCCAGCACAUCUUGUAUGUCUUGAUGGAAUUGAUUAUUUCUCAUCAUGAAUCCAGGGAGGGGAAAAAGUUGAGGCAUUGAAGCUAGAAGAACCAGUAUUUAAGGACAUGCGUGUGAGUACAAAAGGAUUUUCAAAAAUGAAGAACCUGAGACUACUCCAGAUUGAUCAUCUUCCUCUUGAAGGGAGCUUCAAGGACAUGUUUACAGAGCUUAGAGUGUUAAAAUGGCAUCAUUGCCAUUUGGAACACUUCCCAUCGGAUUUGCAUCCGGACAAACUUGUUAUUUUGGAUGUGAAAUACAGUAGCCUCAAAGAACCCCCUAGUACAAAGGUCUGAUGUUCUACAACUUUACUCCUUGAUUUUAAACAAUUACAUCUGCUAUUCCGGAGUUAAUACAUUCCUUCAUUUGUUCAGCACUUAAGGUGUUUGAAGAUAAUGGAUCUGAGCUAUUGUGAGAGCCUAAUGAGAACUUCAGACUUCACUGGUUCACCAAUGCUUGAGAAACUAGUUUUUAGAGGUUGUUCGAGUUUGACUGAGGUGCAUUCAUCAAUUGGAUAUUUGGAGGUUCUCGUGUAUUUAGAUUUCACUGGGUGUAAGAAACUCGAGGGACUACCUGAUAGCAUCUGCAAGCUGAAAUCGCUCGAGAAGCUAUAUCUGAGUGAUUGUACAAAUCUACAACAAUUGCCUGCUGACAUGGGGAAUCUUAGGCGUUUGACGGCACUUUAUGUAAUGGGAACAUCUAUUAAACAACUUCCAGUGUCUUUUGGACUUCUGAAGAAUCUUCAACUCUUGGAAGUGGGAAAUGACUGGAAACUUUCAGAACCUAAAUCUCUUCUUUCCAUCAUUUCAUCCUUUUUAACAUCAAAAGAUCAUGAUAUUCUUCCAUCUUCUAUUAUAAAUUUACCGUCCUUGGAAGUUCUAAAAGUUCCUUUCUUCAAUCUGUGCCAAAGAGAUAUUCCCAAUUGUCUUGGCCGAUUAUUCUCACUGCAAGUCUUAGAUUUAAGUGGAAAUAAUUUUCACAGCCUACCCUUCACUCUUAGUCACCUAUCCAACCUAAAAACCCUUAGACUCUAUGGAUGCCCAAAUCUCCUUAUGCUCCCAGAUCUUCCUUGUAACCUAGAAGAACUAUGCACAAGGAAUUGCAGGUCACUAGAAAUGCUUCCAGAUUUGUCAAGUGCAAACAGAUUGCAACUGUUGGAUUUCUGUGAUUGCAGUAAAUUGAUUGAGAUUCGGGGCCUUGAGAACCUUAAAUACUUGAAGUAUAUGAAUGCAAUAGGUUGUAUGCUCACAAAAAAUCCUCUAUCUGAAGGCUUCUUCAAGGUUGGUUGCUCUGUCACUUGUAUAAAUCAAACACAGUUUUUCCCUUGUACACUUCUCUAUGUGACACCUUUUCUCUGAUCCAUGUUUAGGCAAAUUCUGCACCCAAUGGCGUAAAUGUUUUUCUUCACUGCAAUGAGAUUCCUAGUUGGUUCGGCUAUCGGGUUGUGGGAUCUUCAAUAUCUUUGAUUGUGCCACGAUACAUGGAACAAGAAUUUCUUGGCAUGAUUGUUUGGGCUAUUUGUGAAUCUCAAGGAGAACAUUGUGAUGGAACCCCCAUUGCCAUCAUCACCGACCUGACAAAUGGGAUUGAAUAUCCUCUUUUUGGUGUAGAUAUUGCAAUACGGUAUGAGAGUUAUGCAUGGGUGAGCUAUAUGCCAAGACGACAUUUCAAACGCCCAAUAAAAGGCGGUGAGAAAAUGAUGGUUUCUAUCAAAGAGCGUCAUUCAUCAAAAGAAGGUUUAAGAAAGAAGUUUGGGGUUCAUCUUUUGUUUGCAACCAGCCCAAAAGGAAAGUUAUUUCUUUUGAGCAGAUUGUGACAGAGAUGAUGGAGUUGAGGCCUUGCCUUUGGUUCAGGUUCAAUAUUUUUCCAACUUUUCUUGGGCUGCUGGGGUUUUGAUAAACAUCCAACCUGAGAACAAGUAUUGUGUGUAUGCAUUUUGUAAGACCUUCCUACUUUCAUUCUGACUAUAUAUAUGGUAGUUUCUAAAAAAAAAUUAUGGUUGAUAUUGUGGUAGCAGUUGAAUGUUAUGUACUUUUAGAAUUAGAUGUUUAAAAUGAUUUGGUUUUCUAUGCAAUACAAAAAGAGUUGAUACCUAAAAGUUCUCCUAAAUUAUUCACGUUUUGCUAGUAAAAUACUUAAAACUAUGAGGUGUUAUGUUACUUCUGAGCUUAUAAUGUUCUUUAAGCCAAAACCCCUGUGUUGCUGUUACCCCAGCAUUGUGACAUCACUCUCUUUGUAGUGUGUAGGAGCUACACUGUAGGGCCGUAGGCAUAGGCCGAAAAGAGCAUUCAUGUAGCAUCUUACAUUCAUUUUUUAAAACUAGUUAUUCUUAUUUGCUAUUUUUUCUUCUCUUUCUUUUCGUAUUCAUUUCUUCUUCUUCAGAACUCUACAUCUUUUGCUAAAAACAGUAAACUAGUUGAAAGCAUCGCCUUAGAGUAAAAGCAAAACUUAAUAUAAUUAGAAAAAUAUAAACCUAGUCAUACAUCUCUCUGAAUAAACCUUUUAUGAAGCUGUUUGACAAUCUUGAUGUCCAACACGAAAGAGCCUCAGCUGUUGAAGCAUGUUCAUUAUGAGAUAGCUAUAAUCCGUAAUUGCCAUCAAUUGGAAAGGUGUACAGGUAAAACACUACGUAUCUGGACUAUGCUUUGUCAGAACAAAUGGAGCUAUUAGAACCUGCAGAUUUAUAUCUUCACUCUUUAUGCCAUAUAUCAAAUGGUUUUUUCUGGUUCAUUUUAUUUUUAUCCGAAAAUGUGAGAUCUUCAAGUACAAAUAUUAGGAGUUGUCCCUCAAAACUUGUUUUCUAAUUUAGACUGCUUGCUAGGCCAGAAUAAAUGGAACAGCGGCUGCUACAAAUAGUAUUAUUCUUGUAUAAUAAGAACUAAAGAGAACUCCCAUUUUUCAGUUCUGGAGUGUGUAAGUAAGCAUGAUCCAAUGAUUGGGACAUUCUGCUUAUUGCUAAGAGGACAGUAGAAACCCAUGAAAUUGAAACCGUUUUCUGUUAUAAAUUUAAUGCAUGUUAUUUCCAGUUUAUUUUGUUUUAAGUCUGAAGAAGUGAGAUUUUUAAGUACUAAUCUUAGAGAGUUAAAAAAAAUUUAAAACUGAGAUGACAUGCUAGGCUGGUGGAAGUGGAUUACUGGUUGCUACACUUACUAUCAUUCUUGUGUUGAUAAUUAGAAUUAAAGAAAACUUGCAAUUUUCAAUCUUGAAGAGUCGGCAUGAUCAGCAGUUUGGGAUAUUCUGGUUACUGUUCAAAGGAUUGCAAGUAACUUCAUGAAAGUGAGAUAGUGGAGUUUGAAAUGCUCUGUGUGGUUCCUUGGUUUGUGUUCUAUUACAACAAAAGGUUAUAUUUGAUCUGUGUUGUGUAUCAUGACGUAGUGUGUUUUUGAAUUUUUUUUUGAAACUGGUAAUGUUGUAUUCCUCAGCAUUAAGGUAUGCUGGAGACCUCCAAAAAGGUAGUAACAAGCUAAAACAAGAGACUAAUUACGGUAAUCCUAAAAGAUCUACUAAUUGUUCAGCAUUUUCUAUACAAUGUUCUUUACACCAAAAGUAGAAAGUUGCAAUGCAGCUCCCUUUGAUUUUCUGAAUGCUGUUGAAUCUAUCUUCAAAGUUUCUUCCAUUCCUCUCCCUCCAGAUAGUCCACCAGAUACAGUGUGGGAUUAUUCUCCACCACUUCUUCUGUGUCUUGCUUCCCCCUCUCCUAAUCCAGCAACUUAACAAGUCUGCUGUGUGCUCUGGCAUUGACCAUUUUGUCUCUGUUGAACUGAGGAACAUAGUCCAAAGCUGAGAUGCGACUUUACAAUGGAGAAACAGAUGAUUAUCUGUCUCUCUAGCCUCACUACAUAACAUGCAUCUCGACACAAUUGGCAAUCCCUUUUUCUGCAGGAUCUCAUGAGUGAGGCAAGCUUUCGUGAUUACUAACCAAGCAAAGCACUUGACUUUAGUAGGAGCCAUACUUUUCCAUACAUUCUUCCAAGGACCUAUUUUGUUCUCAAGCAUCCAAGAUACCUCUUUUCUAUAAAUUCUGCCUACAGAGAACUUGCCAUCCUCAUCAUGUUUCCAUCUAAAAGUGUCAUCUCGCACUUGCGUUUGUUUUAAUUGUUACUCGACUAAUGAAAAACACUCAGUUGGAUGUUUGGAACUUUUUGGGACAUGUCUUUUGUCUUUCUAACCCUUCGUUAUAGCUUUCAAUUACUGUUCAAUAAUGAUUAUGGAGAUGGAUGUUGCUGAUUCUUCAUAUUGCAUGCUCUGCUUGCAGUAACUUGUGGUUCCAUUGUGGAUGUUUGCUUUCUCUUUGGUAUUCAGAACUAAAUCUAGGCUUUAGUUUAAGACAUUAAAUGUCAAGUAAUCUUUCUUGUUUUGGUAAUUUUUUCCAGGUUUAAAUACAUCUUACAACUUCCAAUUUCACUAGUGAUACAUGCCUCUUUUACUUUGAAAAUGCACUUACAAAUCGGCGUACGCUUUGGGCAACUUUUAUUCCAUGAAUACAGGCUUGUGUUCCUUUUCCAUUUGCUUUUUGAAUGCAUCUGUAAUAUAGUCGUAUGAUCCAUGCGAUACAUUUCAGUUAAUUAUUAAAAGUUGCCAAGAUAUAAACAAAGUCCCUCCCGUAGUCUGACGUAAAAUAAAGAUGUGUUACAGGUAUCAUUAUCAUAAUUAUGCUCUAUAAUUCAAUCAGAAUCUCCAACAACCAUGUUUGUCAACCAAGAUCUAUAUACAUAACUAGUCAUGAACCUCAACCUAAACUGUGUUUCUCCUGAUUUACUCAUGUAAUGGAUGGGAUCGUGGCCCCUCCCUCCAUCUUAGAGUCUUGACUGUGACUUCAUCAUGGAAGAUUGCAUCUUUGUCAAAAGCUUAGUUGAAACAGGGUCAAUCCAGUUAACAUGCACCAGGACUUUUAGUAUAGAUGCCCAGAUGAUGUGAUUAAGGUAAAUGACAACUUCUUGGGAUUUUCCUCCAGACCUUCUUGAUCAAGACAUUGAUGAUUUCGUUGGUAGCUCAGGUGUCCACUUUCUAGUGCAUAUCGAGUUAAAAAGGAAUAAACUUAAUAUCAAAUUCUUGUGCAAAAGUAUGCACUUGUCAUCACUGAAUAUUGUAUGUUUAUUGAUUAUGAUCGAUUAUAGAGUACCAAUAUAAGAAUAAUUUGGUUCUUGAAUGAACUAAAUCAUAUCAUCUUACCUAACUGACACCCCAUCUGAAAUACUCCAUUGAAACCACAUAAAAGAACAUGUCCUUUGAAACUAUGCAUGUGUAGGAGCACUUGCGGGAAACUCCUUGCCGAGGGCCUGUGCACCCCCGGGAUUAGUCGGGGCUCAAAGAGACUCGGACACCCGGUGCAAAUAAAAAAAAAAAAAAAAAAAAAAAAAACUAUGCAUGUGUAGGAAGUUCAGCUAAAGACUAACUUGGUUCUAUCCUUUCCAGUAAAGAAAAAAAGUAAGCUUAUCGACUGAACAAGGACUGUAAUACCGUCCGGAAUUGCUGAAACCAAUCAUUACAUGUCCAGCUUGAGAGUCAGCAUAUUGAUAAACUCGUUAAACAUCACGCUCAGCCCUUAAUACAGCAUCCAUCACAAAUGGCAACAGCUUUAGCAGUAAGAGAUGACCUGUCACAACUUGUCGUGGAUACACACAUUAAAAGAUUGACCAUAUUUGCCUGACGUAGAGGCAAUCAAGAAAGCCGCAUAAGUGAAUAUAUAACCUACAGAAAAGUGAGCUAAUCCAACCAAUAGUUCAGCCAUGAAACGAGCAAGCCAUUGUGGAAAAAUAUAAUCUAGAAUAGGUAUCAUUAAAGCCAGAAUAAGUACAGGUAGUGAUGCCAUCAAAGGGAAAAUUUUAUACAGGACCAAUGACAAUGAUAGGAAUAGUACAGAAUUGACAAUAUAAACCUCAUUCCAUUCUGACUGGGUUUUCGCUGCAUGAUCAAUCAACCUACCAUUAGCACAGAAACAUUAAUUCUUAGCUUCCCAAGAUAGUGUCGUUAACUUAAAAGGUUAGAUAACACAAGGAGUUCUGCUAAGUUCCAGUUCUUAUCUUUAGCAGGGCAAACUCUGUCUCUACUACUACCACAAGAACAAUCAGAUUUAAGACCAAAAUCCAUUAUACUAGAUCACUAGUACAAAUACCUAGAUUUAAAACUAUGGACACUACACCUUAUUUUCUUCCUACAAAAAUUUUGCAAACUACAGAUCUCCUUAUAAAAAGAAUCAGGUAUUUUGAAACAAUAAAUAGUAUAAACAACAGGUUUAGCAACCAGCAAUAAUUUAAGCACGAUUUCUUUAACCACACAGCACACUUUUCUUUCCAACCUUUUUGCUUCAAUAAAAGUCAGCCAUUAAUAAUUUAAUAUGAGCCAAAAACCCCAAUUGGACUCCAAACUGUAGUAGAUAUUUCUAAAAUUAGCUUUAGAGCAUUCCAGAAAAUUAGCCAUUAGGAGUAUCUUCAGUUCUCCAAGAUAUUCUUAAAGAAAAACACUUCAAGCUUCUCUAAAUUAACAAAUUAACCAUAAUAACAUUAAUAUCCCAGAAACCCCUAGGAGAUAUAUUUUAUAAAGCAAAACCUUGGAAACAUUACAUGCCUCUAACAAAAAUUAAAGAGUCACUAGGAAACAGGAAGCAAGACAACACUGGAAUAGCACAUUGUGAUGCCAUUGUACACCAAUCAUCAACUGGGGGCCUUAUUUAUUUUGUACAGCACAUGACAAUAUCCUAUUAGGAAAAUCAUUUUAUCAGGGGUGGUGGUGGAAGGAGAACUCAUUCUCAACAGAAAAAAAGAAAUCUUAGAUCAAGUUAGUUCCAGAUGCUCCAAAGGAAUUCCAAAAUGCAGCAGAAUCCCUCCUUUCAUUGAAUCAGUCCAAAUGUACAAUCAAAUUAUCAUACUUCAACUUUAACGUCUCAAACAAGUAUCUAAUAAAGCAUAAAAGCUCAUGUUGCAAGUACACACACAAUUUAUUUAAAAUAAUAAUAAUAAUAAUUAGUACAUACACAGUAGAGCUCGAUUAAGGAGUAACUCUUCUGCCAUACAGAAAUGCAUACAUUGUGUUAAAUCAAAUUAGGUGAGUUAUUACCUUCAUGAACUUCUCUUGCAAAUAGCAACACCGACAAAAAUGGAGAACAAUGUCAGAAAAGCUCCCUUUCUUGAGAGCAUAAACUCGGUCCAGGUCAAGGGCCUUGUAAUCUGAGUCAACACUUUCUGGAACUGUUCAUGCAAAGCCUCCAGUGAACCGGUGUUAUCAAUCACAAUAUCUGCCUGUGACCUCUUAAGAUCCAGGGACAUCUGUGCAUUUAUUCUGCUUUUGGCAUCCUCCUCCAUUGAUCCAUCUCUAAUCAUGAGCCGCUGCAGCUGUGUCUUAGGAUCAACCCAAACUACAACAAUGGGUUUAGUCCACUUAUCCAUCUUGGCCUCAAACAAAAGAGGAACAUCAAGAACAAUUAUGGAGCAACCCUUUAUCCACAGCUUCAAAACUUCCAUUAAAAUACCACGUGAGAUAAAUGGUGCUAGCAACCUACAUAGACACAAUCCCAUGUUCAAAACCUUACAUUGCAACAAAAACCAUUAUGUGAUCCUGCACCAAUUCAAAUCUUAGCCAAUCUGAUAAAACUAGGCCAAAAUAUAAUAUAAUUUGGAGUAAAGCAAGAAAUAAAUUAGUAGCCUCCCACAUUUUGUUAUUCAAGAUAUUUUUGCUGCUCCUUAAUUUGUUUCUCAAGAAGCCAAGAUCCUUUUGAGUGUCAACUUCAGCAGAAUAGAAAGCUAAUGCUAUAUUUCCAUUGGAUUAACCUCAAAGGCUACUAAUAUACUCAAUAAAAUACCGAAAACGGAAUACCAAUCCCCAGAAGCAGCAGCAGUUUGCCAAUGUUAAAGGUACAAUUUCAAGUGGCCAAUGUUUUUGAUCAUUGUUGUCAUAAGACAACGAUAUGGCCACAUUUUAAAAUGGUAACAUGUACAUAUGAACAUAUGAGUCAAAACAGCAGUAAAUAGUGGAAACAAUCAUUACAAAAACCCAACCAUGCUUAGGACUACUGCUUCACAAGGAUCCUAUCAUAUCAACUAGUGAUCCAUCCUCCUCUACAUAGUUUUCUUUACACCAAAAAUGAAACAAAAGAAUACAAUUCAUCUUGACUUUCUGCACAAAAUUGUAUUUGUCUUCAAAAAAUCUAAAGUUCCUUUCCUUCCAGAUUGUCCAUGCAUGCUGGGACAAGUUUCCACCACCUCUUCUGCCUCACUGCUCCACCAUCGUAGUUCCAACACAUCAAUAACUCACAAGUUGUUGUUGGCAUAGACCACCUGAGACCUACCAUGUUGAGAAAUAGUUGCCACAGUUGCCCAGCAAUGGAACAAUGUAAAAAUUAAUGACUGCUAGUUUCCCAAGUAGCACCACACAUAUGAUACCUAGAGCAUAGCUGGAAUCCCCUUCUUCUUAGAUUUUCCUGAGUAAGGUAGGUUUCUCUUGCUACUAGACAGGAAAACAUAGAAACUUAAAAGAAUCCCUUACUUUCCAUAUGAACUUACAUGGCCAGUGAUCAAUUUGGUGGUUUGACCUAGAUAAUAAGGUAUAGGAAGAUUUGACAGUGAAGACCCCUUCUUUGCCAGGCUUCCAGAUCAAAUGUCUUCAGAAUCUUUGAGACCAUGGAAGGAAUUUAAUAUCUUGAACAAUUCAACAACUCUUUCCAGUACCAAGUCAUGUAGUAGUCUUUUGAAAGUAAUGUUCCACCUCUGCACUCCCUUCACUGUUUCUAUAUUUGCUUCAGGUAGUGUUGCAAUGCUAUAGAAAUCAGGGAACAGUUCUUUCACAGAGCCAUCUCCAAGCCAGUCAUCAUUCCAGUAUAGAGUUCUUCUUCCUUUACCCACCCUUAUACCGGUGUUGUCAAUCAUAAAGUUCCAGGAAGAUCUAAUGGCUCACCCCAUAGAGGUUGUUGACAAUUCUUGUAUACCACUGUCCAUCUUGGCCAUACUUGUCAUGGAUAACCCUUCUCCAUAGAGCAUUAGUCUCCAAGUAAUACCUUCAAAACUACUUCACAAGCAAGCUUUGAUUAUGAGCAUUUAGAUUCCUUGUGCCUAAGCCUCUUUUCCUUUUGUUAGUAAUGAGACUGUUCCAAUUAACCAAAUGUACUUUCUUGUCUUUGUUGCCUUGGCAUAUGAAAUUCCUCCUUAAUGUGUCAAUUUUGUUCCUUACCUUACAAGGUGAGGAACCAGAGACAACUUUUAAUGUUUAAAAAAAAAAGGAACCAGCGAUAUGACAUAUGUAGAUAGUGCAUCCAGAUUCCAGAUCACAGUUUACCAGAACUAUAUUCUCCCAAAGAGAGAUAUUGACCCUUUUAGAUUGCUAGCCUCUUCUCACACCUUUCAAUACCCCAAUCCAGAGUUCUCAAGCUUUACUUGUUUCCCCUGGGAAGAGCCCUAGAUGAAUAGUUGGUAAUGACCCCGCUCACAUCUGAAGAUAGCUGCUAGCACCUGGAUGUUGGCAACUUCCUUAACUGGGAAUAGCAUGCUCUUACUCCAAUUAACAUGUAGCCCUAAUACUACUUCAAAGAUCACCAGAAUAACUCUCAGAUGUUUUACUUGGUCAAUAUCAGCAUCACAGAGUCAUCUGUUGUAAUCUCAGCACUAUUGUCCUCCCUGAUUGCAGCUUUAAACCCCUUCAGAAAAGACCAUUGUCCUUCACCACCUUAAACAACUGGUUCAGUCCUUCCACUGCAAUAAGAAACAGGAAUGGUGAUAGAGGAUCACCUUGCCUCAAACUUCUCACGGAAGGGAAAGGUCCUUCUGUGCACCCAUUCACCAAGAUAGAAAAUUUCACAAUCUUUAUAUCGAAGAGAUCCAAUUAAUCCACUUCUCACCAAAGGCCAUGCCUUUUAGAAAUUUAAGAAGGAAGGUCCAAUUAACAUGGUCAUGUGCCUUGAAGCAUAACAUCCAACAAAGUUGACUUAUUUCUAUAUUCGCUGUUAAACUUCAAGCAUAACAUCCCACAAAGUUGACUAAUUUCUAUAUUUGUUGUCGAAUUGUACUCUCAAUUAAUCAAUCAAAGCCUCAAGCCCAUAAUAAUUUGAGGUUGGCUAUAUGCUCUGUAUUGGUUCUCACUCUAUUCAGGCUACUUCAUUUCAUCACUCAAUAACUUGACUUUCUUAAGCCUAAUAAGAGUUCUAUAAAACUGGAGCUUCUCUAAAUGACUGAAUCUCACAUGUCUCUCUAAACCGACUUCAAAAUCUCUAACUAAACGGAAAAGACUAUGAUAAACACAAGACUUGGCGUAAAUGUAAUAAAAAAAACCAUGCCUUUAUCCUAAAAAAUGAUAUCACCUAUAAAACUGCAGGUUUCUACAUUUCACAUGUCUCUCUAAACUAACUCACAAAUCUCUAACUAAAAAGGAAAGACUACAGUAAACACAAGAUUAAUGUAAAUGUAACAAAAACAACUAUGCCUUAAUCCUUCAAUUUUCAAAGAGCUACUAAACUGCCAAUCCCAAAGAGAUUAUACUCUUUACUGACCAAAGUAAAAUAAAUGUCAUUGAUAAGAGAUGUUUUAAAUCUACAUAAAAAAAAUUAAAAAAAUAAGAGAUGUUUUAAGCAUUUAGUAUUAAUAUUCUGAAAUAUAACAGUUUGAUAGCAGUUUACUUAUGGUUUUUAUUUCUCUGCGUUCACACUUCAUGUUUACUUCUCUGAGUUCAAGUUCCAGGCACGGAAACAAGUUGUCUCAUUUGUGUGGAAAGAGAACCUAAGUUCUCAAGGAAGCUCCAAAAUCACCACACCAAAUCAAACCAGAAUCAGCUAUAGGAUGAAGUUUUCCAGAUAUAAAGUUUUUUUUCAUAUAUUUUGAUUGUAGAAAGGAACUAUCCUGAACCUUUUUUAUUAAUGUUACUCGGCGAACAUAAGAAAAUAAGAGGAAGUACUAGUUUUGUUUCUUUGGAUUAGACAAAAAGUAUCCAAUUUUUUGUUUUUAAUGACAAGGAAACCUGCAGCCGCUAUCCUUGGGUGCGCACAAGGUAAAGCCCCAGCUCCUAUGCAAUAACUUGCAAACCACAUAGGCAGGGGCGGACCCAUGUGGGUUCCAGGGGGUUCGCUCGAACCCCCUCGGCAAAAAAUUACACUGUAUAUAUAAGGUAAUUUUCUGUAUUUGUGUGGAUAUAUAUAUUUUGAACCCCCAGAGAUAGCCCAACAGCAGGUUCCCUGAAAAUUAACAGGGGCGGACCCACGUUGGUUCCAGGGGGUUCACCCGAACCCCCUGGGCAAAAAAUUACACUGUAUAUAUAAGGUAAUUUUCUGUAUUUGUGUGGAUAUAUAUAUUUUGAACCCCCAGAGAUAGCCCAACAGCAGGUUCCCUGAAAAUUAAGCCUCAUGUACAGGGUUCGAAUCCCUACAUUAGCGUUUUAUUUUUUUCUUUUACAGUUUCAUUUUUUUUUAAGGUUUCAGUUCCCUUUUUCACGUUUUCUUUAGUUUUUUAUUUUAUAAAACAUGCUAAAAGUGUGGUUUUAAACCCAAAAAAAUUCAAGGGUCCGCCACUAAAACUAUAUACUACUACUUUCUUGAAAUUUUAUUUUGUUGGCUUAUAUAUACACGUUUAUACUUUUAUUUUUCGCACCCCUUGAAACGAAAAUUAUGGGUCCGCCACUGCACAUAGGAGAGGUAACCCACACUAUGCAAGCCCGGUGCGACGAGCUCGACCCAGAAAGACUGAAUACAGGAUUAAUUAUCUGCUGAUCUAAUUGAAAGACGGAUUACAGGACUAAUUAUCUGCUGAUCCAUUUUUUCCUUUAUCAUAGCAUUAUAUCAGACAAGUUGAACGUGUAAAUUAUGUAACAAUAAACCAGGAAGACUAAAAAAGUAGAACUUCACUCAGCAACUAGUUCAUAUUUUCAUACCAAACUUUACCUAUUAAGAAGCUGACGUCUUCCCGGAUCAGAGAAUACUAUUUGACCUAGCUUUGCACGAUCAACUUCUCCAUUUUCCAGUAAGAUAUCCUCACCAAAUGCGGCAACAACCUUUUUCCAACCACCUGUUCCUUUCUUCAAAACGUUCUACAUAAUUAUAUUUUUUUUGUCAAUAUAUAGAGCUUGCCAAAAACUUGCACAAAUUUUAGCGGAUGGAGAUAAUAUGCCCAAAUUGACAGUUAAUCAAGCAUAAUAUUUUAAGACUCUUUAUAUUUGAUGCCCUAAAUAAACCUGGUAACGGAAUAGCAAAAGGAAAAGGGAAACGUAGUUACCCGAGCUACAAUGUCAGCAUCAACAAUGGGAAUACCAUGAGCCUUGAAAAGGUUGGAGACAGUGCUCUUCCCUGAAGCAAUCCCUCCGGUCAGUCCGACUAUCCUCAUUCUUAUUUUGGGAACAAAACAAGUGAUGAGGAACAACUCCAGUACUCCAACUGCUCAAACUCAGUUUCUUCCUCUGCUUCUCUCACGAUUCCAUCAACCAACUAGCUUCUGGAUUUGAGGAAAUCUUCAAAUCAAUUUGGAAUUGAACAAGUAGCUGGAGGUUCAUUACCAAAAAGAAUUGAAUACAGAACUUCUAUUGCACCAUAAACUACAAACUUCUUUAGUGAAGGUAGAAACAUUUUACACAUAAAAGCAUUAAAUAUGAACCUGUGAUUUAAGUUGGUGGAAAGCAUCAAAGGAUAGACACAUUAUCAUUAAAAAAUACACACAUCAAAGCACAGAGAGAGAACUCAAUCAUCUAAGAAGAUUAAUUUCAAUUCACGCAAUUAUCAAUCCAUCACACAUACAUGCUCAGUAUAGAAGUGGUGAUAAAAUCUUUACAUGGUUCUCAUUGCUCAAGAAAACAUAUUCAACCAAAACAUUUCUACCAUUGCAGUUUACUGGAGAAUAUGAAGCCGAGACAUAAAUUUUGUACCUCAAAUAUCUCAAUAGAGGUUCCACAACCACCAUCAUAAAUUAUGAUGGAACAAGUUUACUUGAGCAGAUCACAAAGAAAUAUUACAUAAGAGAAUACAUUAUCGGAGUAUUGAAUGGGUGUACCACCAAAGGUAUAGAAAAAUUGUUCAUUUUUUUCAAAUUCGGUUUGGUUCAAUUAGGUAUUUCUGAAACGAUUUCUUUUUUUUGGUUCAACUCUGUUACACCUAUUCGCCUCUAUCAAAGCCAGGAAAUUAAAUGGGAAAGUGAAGAACAGGUAAGGUCCUCUCGAACAAUAACAACUACUCCAUUUUUAUGAAUUCAACCUUCAACUGUAAAAGAAAAUCAACAUUCAAGUAGUAAACUAGAAGUAGCUAACCAAAUGGCAAGAGAGAAUAGUACCUUGACGCUGCUCUGAUUCGAGGUCGGAAUCGCCGGAGGCUCAGUCGGUAUUCAGUCGCCGGCAGAGUGGAGAUUAGGAAAUACAGAAUUUUGGGACAAUGCAAAUGCAACCAUUUUUUUUUAGAAAUCAAAAUAUUAUUAACUCCGUCCACUUUUAAGAGUUGAAUUAUAAAAAAUUUAACUAAUUGAUAUGUAACAAAAUGCAUUAUAUAGUACUACCUAAUAUGGGAAAGAUAUAUUAUAACUCAAUCAGAUUUCUAUUACUUAUAGGCCAAAUGGUCUGGUGGACCCUUGUACUUGUAUCAAUUUGUAUUCUGGACCCUUCUACUUAAUCACUUGUCAACUGAACCCUUAUAUUCAAUAAAACACAAUUUAACAAAUCCAUCUGACCAUUGACCAGGCUUAUGUGGCAUUAGAAUGUGUGAGUUGGCAAAAAUGUGUAACUACACGCUUCUUUAGGCGAGUGAAUAACAUUUUUGAGUUAAAAAAUAUUAAAAUUACAAAAAGUAAAUAAAAAAUUUAAAAACAAUUAAUUAAAAAAAUUACCUUACUUCUUCACCACUAUCCCAUCCUUUUCAACCAUUUUUUUGCAUAUCCAACCCUUCUUUCUUCUUCUCCACAAUCUGUUAACAUCAAUUUACCAAAUCUUGGGCACAUCUUGAGUCCACUGAUUAACCACGGAGGGAGAAAGCGGUGUUGGUGGUACUCGCCAGAGACCACAUUGAAUCGCAGUGGAGUGAGACCACCAACAAUAUUGAUAGAUACUGUGAAGUAUGUAACCUAUUCUUGCAUGCUUCCUUUUAAAGGAUCUGUUCCUUUAGUGGCUACCUGAGAAUGGAAAGCUUAUGUUGAAAAUGCAUCUUCAUUGAUCCCUGAACAAUUUUGUAGAUUCAGGUGAAAUAUAGUGUUUACACCUUGCAUAGCUUUCAUUGGUAGAUUCAGACAUUGCAACGUCUUUCAUGAAUUAGAUCUGAUACUUCUCGGCCAGAUCUAGUGAUGACCAGGCUUAGGUUGUUGGUUUUGUAAAGGUUGGAGGAGGAAAGGCAAAUGGUUAUGGUGUGCGGUGGAGAUGAAGACAGGUGAGGAGAGUAUAUGCGAUUUCGCCGGCAAAAAUGGCGACGACGGCGGCAAUGGCUUCUCCGGUAUAUUUUGGCCGUGGACAGUGAAAUUGGGGAGAAUAAGAUAUGGAGGUUUACUUUAAAGAAUAAUUUAAAAUUUUAUUAUUUUACCUUUUAUUAAAUAAUUUUGGUUAAUAAUUUAAAAAAUAGUUAUGAAAUAAUUAUGACAUGGCACUAAUAUAUAUGACGUGGAUAUGACAUGUCAUUUAUAUAAAGGAGAGUGAGCUACACACAUGGUUAGCGGGGCUUAAAAGUUUCAUUUUAAUUGAGUUUAAGGGUCCAGUUGACAAAUGAUUAAGUAGAAGGGUCCAUAAUACAACUGAUACAAGUACAAGGGUCCAUCAGACCAUUUGGCCUUACUUAUAUUAUGAAGUAACCGUCAAAUGGUAAUUUUUAUUAAUAUAUUAAAAAACAUUACCUAAACUAAAACCAAGAAAUUUGGGAAGAAAAUUUAGUAAGUUGAAUGGCUAAAACGACUAAUAAGAAAGAGAAUUUUUCAUAAACAAUGAGAUUUUGGAGUUUAUUUAUCAUAAUAUAGUAAUAUUUUUUAUUUAUAUUAAAUGUAGCAAGACUUUUCCUAAAAAAAAAUGAUGUGCAAUAUAGUGUAUAAGAACAUGAGGAUGUUGUAUCAUAAAUAUAGCCACAAUAAAAAGAAGAAAAUUGCGAUAGAAUGUUUAAAAUAAAAAUAAAAAUGGACAUCCUUUAAAAUGAAUUAUAAAAGUAAAAUGAAUUUAUAUCUAAUGUAGUUUAUUAAUCAAGUUAGUUGAUCAGAUCUUGGAUCUUAGAAGUAUGAAGAAUUCUACUCAAUCUCGAGAUGAAUCACUUUAAAGCAAAAUCAUGGGUUAUAGCCUUAGGAACCAAUCCAUAGAGUAUAAGAUUCCUAGAACCCACAUAAACAUAAUGAAACUCAUUUAUUCAUAUAUGAGAAAUCAAGUUAAAUAAUAGAUUAUUCAGAAAAAAAUAACCGAUAAGCAUAUAAUAUAUAUUUAUAUUAACUAGCGAUGGUAAAUAUUAUUAUAGAGAUAGUCAAAUGUAUCGAAGCUAAAACAAGAAAUUUGCCUUCUGGGUCAAUCUCAUCGCAUCGGAUCGGACUUAUCUAGUGCGGGUUAUCUUCUUUGUGUAAUUUACAAGCUAUUGUAUAGAAAUGAGGAAUUUACUCUUACACCCAAAAAAUAGCGACAGGUUAACGUCCUCUUCAUAAAUUGGUACUCAAAAAUGAAGAAGGCCUAAAAUUAAUGAAGACCCAUAGUAUGAGGCCUUUUAAGGUCAUCACUCACCAACAAUUAUGGGCCUAAAAAUUCUCAUUUCACUAUAUUUCUCACAACAUAUUAGUGAAUAACUAGUCUUCCCCGUUUUUUAUUUUUAGAUUUUAACUUAUAUGGACUAACACUGUAAUUUUCAUACUUUUAAUAUAUUUUAAAAGUUACUAUAUAAUUAUAACAGGUUAUUUACUGCACUCAUUAAAAUUAUCAAAUUAUAUUACUGCCACCAAAUAAUAAUAUUGUUAGUGUACGAAAGAUUCAUUAUCUUUUUUCGAGGAAAUGAGAUCUCUUUCUCUUUUACAAUUUGAAUUAAAGAAAAUGUCUUUUUUUUAUUUUUAUAUCAUGUAAGUAUGAAAAAAUAGAUAAAUCUAAAAAUAUUGAUAAAAGACUAAAAACCCAUUUCUCCCUUAUUUUUCAGCCUUAUUUAAUUAGAGAAAAAGGUAUUUUUCACUUUCACAAUUAAAGAGACGUAAUAAGUAAUCAAUAAAAUUGAGUGGGAUAUUAAUUAGAACAACUUUCCCAUAUAGCAAACAUAAAAAUCAUAUUUGUAUGUUAUAGCUAUAGGUUGCAUAAUUGCGCUCCAUAACAAAUUUUAUGUUUGCUAUGGAGCUUUUGAUUUGUAUAAUUCGCUCGAUACAUUCAAUUUUAUACAAAUUGUUCAGUUUUGUAUAAAUUCAUUUAUACAUUGUAAUUUGUAUAAUAAGAUCUGUAUUUGUAUAAUUAUAAGUGUAUAGGACAAAAAUAUAUGUAUUUGUAUUUGUAUAUACACUUUUCUCUCGCUUUAUACAAAUACAAAUGCAUUUUAUACAUUUUAUACAUGUGUAUACCGAAGGGGUAAUUGUAUACCGAAAAAGGCUAAUUGUAUACCGAACCAGAUGACAAAAAAAUGGGAUGUUUGCUGCGAAUUACAAAUAAAAUAAACUAUGGCUAUAUCAUUUAAUUUGAAUUAAUAAUUUAUUAUUUUAUACAAUUUUCCCUAUUAAUUAACCACCAAGCUUAAUUUCUUGACAAAUAUAAUACUAGAAUACGUCCACCUUUUAUUUAUAUUUCUUGCUGUAGAAAACAUGUUCAUAUAUAAAAGGGAAAAUAACGCGAAAUGAAAAAUAUCUAGAAUAUAUUAUGUAAUAUAGUUAUAGUUUCGAUUAUUUUUAAUCCGUGGCUACAAUUUGUGAAAUUUUGCUAUUCGAUUUCCUAAUUAUAUAAAUUCAGAAUUUGUAUAAUUUGGUUCAUGAUUGUAUAAAUCCAGAAUUUGUAUAUGCUUACGCUAGCUAUUUGUAUACUAUUUAUAAGAAAUUCAUAAUAAAUUACUUUGUUUGUAUAUUGGCAAGUGGAAUAUACAAACAUAGUUCUGAAAAGUUUCUAAAUGUAUAAAUUCAGAGUUUGUAUAUACUUACUAUGUUUGUAUAUUCGCUCGAAAUAUACAAACAGACAAGUGAAAUAUACAAAUCACAGCCUUCAUUUAUAUAUAUUUAUCAUUUUUGUAUAUUUGCAAGCGAAAUAUACAAACGGGCAAGCGACAUAUACAAAUCACAGUCUCCAUAGCAAACGGAACUAUAGCUAUGGAGCGCAAUUACCGAAAUUAUAGUUAUAGAGACUUAUUAUGUCUAUUAUUUUUGUUAUUUUUGAAUUUUUCUCUAUAUAAAAACUAGGUGUAGACUUCGUUGAUCUGGUAGAGUCAUUGAAGAGAAGAGCUAAGGAGAUAGAUAUUGGGACUGUUGGGAACAAUUCCUUAGGUGUUACAAAGACCGUUGAAACCUUAAAAUUGCUCAAGUUUAGUGGAAAUUUGAAGAAAGAAAAAAAACCUAUAGAGAUAGAUUUUAGUUUUUUCCUCCUUUAAGCAACGAGUUUUUCGUGCUAAAUAUUUGUAUUGAUUUACUUUAUUCCGUAAUUGUAUUGAUUUACUUUAUUCCGUAAUUUAUCUUCUUGCAUAGAUGCUUAAAGAACAUGGUUCUUUGAGUGCUUAGGUAGCAGUCAAACCAACAAUAAGUACCCAUUAAUAAUCAUAUAUAUUUAUCUUUUAAAUAACCUGAUAGUAUCAAACUUUUUUACGUACACAUGCAAUAAUGUAUACAAACUAGGGGUGUACAAAACUGAACCAAACCGCAAACCGAGUCAACCCGAAAAAAAACCUAACUAGUGGUUUGGUUUGACUUGGUUUGGUUUUGAAAAAAAAACCUGACUAUAUUUGGAUUGGUUUGAUUUUAAUUAAAAAAAACCAACCCGACAUUAUAUAUAUAAUUUUAAAUUUUUAUUUUAUACAUAAAAAUAUUUACUUUGAUAUAAUUUUUAAAUAUUUCUUAUACUUUUCNNNNNNNNNNNNNNNNNNNNNNNNNNNNNNNNNNNNNNNNNNNNNNNNNNNNNNNNNNNNNNNNNNNNNNNNNNNNNNNNNNNNNNNNNNNNNNNNNNNNNNNNNNNNNNNNNNNNNNNNNNNNNNNNNNNNNNNNNNNNNNNNNNNNNNNNNNNNNNNNNNNNNNNNNNNNNNNNNNNNNNNNNNNNNNNNNNNNNNNNNNNNNNNNNNNNNNNNNNNNNNNNNNNNNNNNNNNNNNNNNNNNNNNNNNNNNNNNNNNNNNNNNNNNNNNNNNNNNNNNNNNNNNNNNNNNNNNNNNNNNNNNNNNNNNNNNNNNNNNNNNNNNNNNNNNNNNNNNNNNNNNNNNNNNNNNNNNNNNNNNNNNNNNNNNNNNNNNNNNNNNNNNNNNNNNNNNNNNNNNNNNNNNNNNNNNNNNNNNNNNNNNNNNNNNNNNNNNNNNNNNUUUAAUUUCCUUUAAUAUUUAGUCAUGUAACUAAUACUUAUUAAACUUAAUUUUAGCAUGAUUUAGUACUUUUAAAUUAUGAUCAUUUUCAUUAUGACUUGUUAAUUUGCAAUAUUUGUUUUACGCGAUUUCAUUAUUAUUAUUUUUGUUGGAUAUUUUAGUGUCAUUAAUCAUAUCAUAUUGUGUUAUAUUUUUAAGAAAUAUCUUACAUAGUUAUAUUUUGGUAGGACUAAAGAAAUAUUUGAAGUACAAGUAAAUUAUAUGUUUGUAUGAAUACUUUACCGGAAAAACCUGAAAAAUCGAAAAAUCCGAAAAAAUCCGAGGUUGAAAAAUCCGAAUUUUAUUGGUUUGGUUUAUAAAUUUAAAAAUCCAACACAAAUUAUUUGGUUUGAUAUUUGAAAAACCCGAACCAAUACCCGACCAUGUACACACCCCUAAUACAAACUUAUACUCAAAAUAAAUAGAAAAACUAGUGGUAGAACAAAGGACACAACAUUAUAGACAUAGAUGUGUGUGUGAAUAGAGGAUGGGCUUAGGAGACAAUCUUAGAGAAGAAAGAUUAUCUUGAAUCAUCAACUACUAUGUAUGUGUAUCAAGUCAUGCGGACUGUCCAUUGUGAAAUAAAAAGGAAGAAAAGAUAUAGAAAAAGAAAAGUAGAAAAUGUAGCUAAAAAGGUACAUAAAUAUAUAGCAAUUGGCCUACCAUGUUAUCUAAAGACCCUAUUAUUAAUUUUGAUAGAAAAAUCUAACAUAAAGCCUUUUACAAGAACCUUCAUUAAGUUUGGACACAAAAUGAUAUGCCUUCUAAAAAGAGUUGUUUGACUUGAGCCUUUAAAAGUAGUCUUUAUUGUCUAACCUUUUUCUUUUCUAAACCUACAUUUAAUUUUUGAUUUAGUGUUUUUUCUCUCAAACUUGGCCAAGACAUCCAAGAAUACAUAUCAAGAUAUUUAAUUGCAAAUGUAAUUUGAUUUUAGCAUGUAUGUUUUUUUUAUGUGUUUGAAGGGAGAUUUCAUGCCACAGUCAAUUAUUUUUAUCGUGGAUCAGGAGUUCACGAGUUCAAGACAUGAAAAUAUUUUUUUAAGAAAAUGUAAGGUAAGAUUAAGUAAAUAUUAGAUCUAAUGUGGUUCAAUCCUUUUAGAUCCAGUCAAGUCUGAUCCUUAAUUUAUUUAAAUUUCACACAUAGUGUGAGUCUUCAUGUAAGAGGUUUCUCUCUUUUUUUUUAAAUAUUUAUUUAUAUUAUUAUUAUUAUUAAUUCGCUAUUCUUUUCAAUUUUCUGAUUUGUGGGAUUUAAUUUCCUUUUCUUUCCUCCACAUUUCUGUUUAUUUUUCUAUUCUGUAUGUUACAUAUGAUAUUGUAUUACUACCAGUGAGGGUUUCUAUAUAAGUUUAUAAAGCAAAAAAUGUCAUUAAUUAACUAAACGUUAUUAGAUGUAAAAAUUAACGAAUGCUAUUAAAUACUUUAGCACAUUUAGAUGAUAGGUUUUGAAAUAAUUUCUUGCGUCUUAAUUAAUUAGUUUUAUAAUAAUAAUAAUAAUAAUAACAAUAAUAAUAGAUAUAUAUUUAAAUAAAUUUUUUUGAUGAAGAACGUUCAACAGAUCAUCCUUCAGCGAUUCUACCAAUUCUAGUUCCGUAAUAUUUGAGGAUCCAAAUAAUCGUUUUAAUUAUUAUUUUAACUAUCUAAUUUGAGACCACAUAUAUAUCAUUAAAAAAAUGCAUUUUCUAUUGACAAUAUUGCAACAUCAAAUGGUUAGUCUUUUUCUUUUAUUUUCUUUUAGGAAAGAAAAGACGACAAACGAAAGUCAAUUGAAAAAGGCACUAAUAAAUUUAAAAAAACUAAAAAAAAUAAUUGAAAAAGGUACAAAGAAAAAUUAAUAAAUUACUUUUCCCAAAGAGAAUUCCAGUUGCACUUUUCUCUUUUUUGUUGGAGUUUUUUUUUUAAUAUAACUUUUUCUUAAUUCGAAAUAUUAAAAUUAGAAAAGCAAUUGUAUAGUAAUAUUAUAUAAUAGAGAAUUAAUACUUAAAAGGGAAGUUGACAAAAUGCAAUAAUUUUGAGAGUCAGAUGGUAAGCUUUACACGAUGGAAAAAAUGGAAAAGAUUAAUGGCAUGUUUGAUAAGUUUUUGGUAAGUUGCUUCUUUAUUACUUAAUAUUAUUUAUUUAUUUUUAAUAAAAAAAUAUUUAUUUUAGAGAAUUGAGUUGUUUGAAUGAGCUUUUAACAGAAAUAAGUGUUUUUACUAUCGUAUUUAUUAGAAUUAAUGUUGUCCAAUUCUAGAGAGUUUAUUUUGAUAAUUAUUCUACUAAUUAUUAAAAUUAUUGAAUUCGACAGAAAGCAAUUAUAUUAGAGUAGAAAAUUAUUGCAGGAGUUGUUCACAGAGAGUUUAAAGACGUAGGCGGUAGGGCUAUGUCACUUGCACAUUUAUGUCUUUUUCAAUUAUAGUUGUUAAGCAUAUUUAAGAUAUCUAUUGAAUUAUUGAAUUUAUAAGAUUGAUGAUAUGGUCAUGGUCUUUCGAGCUAUAUAAAUACCUAUCCAUUUUGGCCUCAAACCUACAUCAUUGAGCAGGAAUGUGGUAAAUUACUCCCAAUACAUUUAUAUAUCUUUUUGUAUUUAAUCCAAGCAUUAUUCACAGAUGUACCCUACUCCCUUAACCCAUAUUUUAUUCCUAAAUUUUCCAUAUCCAAUUCUACUAGCAAUUAUCCAUUUACUUUAUGAAUCACGAAGUAACAAUGCUCAUAUGUGGGUGAAAUAUGACUUAAAAAAAGAUAAAUUCACCCAACAUCACAUUUCAAUCAUUUACAUAUGCAUAAUACAGAUUCAAACGUCUUAAUUAAUCUUAAUAAAACCAAAUGAGUCCUUAGGACCGUUCCAACCACAAGGUGCUAAACACAUUAUUAUUCCAAAACUCUAAUAAAAAAAACACAAAUAAGUGUAACUACAUCACCAAUGUGUGGAAAAAAUCAAUCUCAAGCUAGCAAGAACACAAAGUUCUAAUACUCCAUCAUUCAUGCAAAAACAAAAUUGAUUUUAGUUGUGAGAUCGAUUACAAAUGCUUCUUAAUUGAUCAAACAACUCCUUGUAUGCUUGUAAAUUAACUAAACAAUAAAUAGGUAGAGAUAUUUUAUUAUUUUUAAAACCAUGAGUUGAAUUAAAUAAGCUCAUUCAUGAAUUCUUCAACUAAAAUCCUUGACUCACCUUCCCAAACACAUUGAAUAUGGAUAAAUAGUUAGAUUUGUGUCGUUAGGCAAGUCUGGAAUUGAUGUUAUGUCAUUUUCUUUUACCCCAUUAGUCCUCUAUUUUCAACAUCAUUCUAAUUAAUGGUGGUCCUUCAUGAAUUAUAUAUCUAUGGUCCCUAUUUGUUAAGAAUCAAAACAUAUAUAUACACAUAUAGGUAGGGGGGACCGGGGGGGGGGGGUUUAAAAAAACCCCUUAUUNNNNNNNNNNNNNNNNNNNNNNNNNNNNNNNNNNNNACGGGGAGAUGCGGCGGGGGGCCGGGGGGGGGGGAUUUACAUAAACACCUUAUAUACUAUUCUCCAACAUUCACAAUAGGAAUUGGACCCCCUCUUAUGUGCUUUGCACAUGUACAAAAAAAUAUGUAUCUUAUCAAUUAUCACACACUUCUAUUGAGGGAUGGGUUUUCACGUGAAGGAUGGAAAAAGGGGUGUGUGUGUGUGUUCAAUAAUUCUAUUUAAAGGAAAUGGGAAUAUUAGUUGAACUAAUUGAAAGGAUAAAUUAGAAUUCAAUAAUAACACCAUAGCAUAAUGUUGCAAAUGAAAUACUAGUUUAAUUCGAUAAAGAUCGGAGUUUAAGAGAGAAAAAAAAGAAAGACUUUUUAAACUUGUGUUUCUGAGUGUGUUAUUAUGUAUAAUAUGCGCUGAGAAAAACAUCUUCUCAUUAUAAUUAAAAUAUAAGUUUUCAAAUAUAAAAUUUUGUUUUUUUCUUAAUUAAGAACGAACUAAUAAUAAAAUUGAACUUGUAUCCUUUGAAUUGUAACAAAGAAGUUGCUGAAUGUAAUCAUUUCUACUUCGCGUAAUCUAGAUUCUAUAUAAAAUUUCACCAAAUAUUCUCUACACUAAGAAAAUAGUAUCAUAUAAAUAAUAAUAAUAUAGAAUGAAACUAGAUAAUGUUGUCCGUGCUAUGCACGGGCCUAAUAAUAUAAAUGGUAUGUUUUGGGGCUAAUAAUCGAGUUUUUGAAGCGAUUGUUUGCGUGGAUAAAGGAAUAAGUUUUUUUAUUUGUAUUUUCUUUGACGCUAUUUAAGACAUAAUAAGACUAUCCACAUACAACAUUUUUGAAAUAUUUUAUGUUGCCAAUUAUCAUCAUUUAUAGUAUUUUUACGAUAGAUUCACUUCAAGAAUCAGUGGAAUUUUUUAUAUUUUUUUUCAAAACAUAUUUUAUGUUGUCAAUUAUCAUGAUUUAUAGUAUUUUUACGCAAUUUUUAAAUAUAAAAAAAAAACCAACAAAAAUAAGACAAAUAAAUUAAAAUGGACCCAAUAUAUGUUAUUUUUGUUGUCUCAAUUUAUGUGACACAAAUGAAAUUUAAAGAGUCAUNNNNNNNNNNNNNNNNNNNNNNNNNNNNNNNNNNNNNNNNNNNNNNNNNNNNNNNNNNNNNNNNNNNNNNNNNNNNNNNNNNNNNNNNNNNNNNNNNNNNNNNNNNNNNNNNNNNNNNNNNNNNNNNNNNNNNNNNNNNNNNNNNNNNNNNNNNNNNNNNNNNNNNNNNNNNNNNNNNNNNNNNNNNNNNNNNNNNNNNNNNNNNNNNNNNNNNNNNNNNNNNNNNNNNNNNNNNNNNNNNNNNNNNNNNNNNNNNNNNNNNNNNNNNNNNNNNNNNNNNNNNNNNNNNNNNNNNNNNNNNNNNNNNNNNNNNNNNNNNNNNNNNNNNNNNNNNNNNNNNNNNNNNNNNNNNNNNNNNNNNNCACAUAUCAUCCAACACUUGUCAUGUAGUAAGUAGUAGAUAUUCCCACUUAUUACAAUAAUAAUAUAAAUUUUAAAGGUACAACCAUAAAAGAAAAUGUACAACACUAUCAAACACAUAUCAUUCAACACUUGUCAUGUAGUAAGUAGUAGAUAUUCCCACUUAUUACAAUAAUAAUAUAAAUUUUAAAGGUACAACCAUAAAAGAAAAUGUACAACACUAUCAAACACAUAUCAUUCAACACUUGUCAUGUAGUAAGUAGUAGAUAUUCCCACUUAUUACAAUAAUAAUAUAAAUUUUAAAGGUACAACCAUAAAAGAAAAUGUACAACACUAUCAAACACAUAUCAUUCAACACUUGUCAUGUAGUAAGUAGUAGAUAUUCCCACUUAUUACAAUAAUAAUAUAAAUUUUAAAGGUACAACCAUAAAAGAAAAUGUACAACACUAUCAAACACAUAUCAUUCAACACUUGUCAUGUAGUAAGUAGUAGAUAUUCCCACUUAUUACAAUAAUAAUAUAAAUUUUAAAGGUACAACCAUAAAAGAAAAUGUACAACACUAUCAAACACAUAUCAUCCAACACUUGUCAUGUAGUAAGUAGUAGAUAUUCCCACUUAUUAUAUAUAGUAAUGCUAUCAUUUCUACUUCACAUGAUUCGAAUGCUAUACAAAAUAUCACGAAAUGUGUUCUAUUAGACACUUGAAUAGACUAAUAAGAAAAUAUAUAGUACUCAUUUAGAUAGAGUAGGAUGUUAUUAUUUGUAGUUAGCAUGAUCCUGAUGAUCUCACCAAAUGUUCUGUCAGACAUAUUAUAAUAUAAGAUUUUGAAUAAACACAUAAAAUUUUCCAAGAAUUGUCUUAUCAAGCAAAAAAGCAAAAGCUAUCAAUUAUUGUAGAAUCACUAAAAUGAUAUUGUUGUGAAGUGAAGCAAGAGAAGAUGCCUAGUUCUGACUAAGACAACUAGAUGACAAGUUGUAGCAUAGGAGGUAUGGCUCCUAUUCCUUCUUUAAUCAAGUUUCUUCCUUUUUGUGGAGCAUUUAGAUUGGACUUUUUGCAAAUUUUCACUUUCCAAAAAGGCCAAUACAUAACAUGGGUUGGCAGGAGUUAUAGACACAAAUGUAGACACAUGUAUAUAGAUAUAGGAUAUGGGGAAGAGAAUUCAUGCUUUGAGCAUGUCCUUUUUUUCUUAGACAAUUCAAGAAGUGGAUAUAACAUGGGGUUGUCAUUAGUAUACAACAUAUAGGGGUGUAUAAAAUCGAAUCGAAAACCGAAUCAAACUGCAAAUUGAGUCAAACCAAGAAAAAAAUCCCGACUAGUGGUUGGUUUGACUUGGUUUGGUAUUGAAAAAAAAUCCGACUUUAUAUUUGGGUUGGUUUGGUUUUAACUAAAAAAAACCAACCCGAGACCAAACCAACCCGAAAUUAUAUAUAUAAUUUUAAAAUUUUAUUUUACACAUAAAAAUAUUUACUUUGAUAUAAUUUUUAAAUAUUUCUUAUACUUUUUCAUAGUUUUUUAAUUUUAAUUUUCUUUAAUAUUUAGUCAUGUAACUAAUACUUAUUAAACUUAAUUUUAGCAUGAUUUAGUACUUUUAAAUUAUGAUCAUUUUCAUUAUGACUUGUUAAUUUGCAAUAUUUGUUUUACGCGAUUUCGUUAUUAUUGUAGUAUUUUUUUGUUGGAUAUUUUAGUGUCAUUACUCAUAUCAUAUUUUGUGUUAUUUUCCUAAGAAACACCUUAGAUAGUUGUAUUUUGGUAGGGCUAAAGAAAUAUUUGAAGUACAAGUAAAUUAUAUGUUUGUAUGAAUAUUUUACCGGAAAAACUCGAAAAUCCGAAAAUCCCGGAAAAACCCGAGGUUGAAAAACCCGAGUUUUAUUGGUUUGGUUUGGUUUAUAGAUUUAAAAAUUCGACACAAAUGAUUUGAUUUGAUAUUUGAAAAAUCUGAACCAGGCCAACCCAAUCAUGUACACCCCUAAAUUACAACAUAUGCCAAACAAGUGAAAGGGGAUAGAAAAGAAAAUACUAUCAUAUAUAUAUACUAUAUAUGAAUCGUAACGAAGGAGUUGGAUGUUAUCAUUUCUACUAUACAAAAUUAAACCAAACGUAUUGUUAGACAUUAGAACAUACGAAUAAAAAAUUGUAUCAUAUAAACGGUAAUAAUGGAGUGAGAUGUUAUUAUUUCUACUUAGAAUGAUACAAAAUGCUAUAUAAAAUAUCAUGAAAUGUAUUCGAUCAGACACUAGAAUAGAUUAAUGAAAAAUAGUAUAAUUGGAAAUGUAACGAUAGAGUAGGAUGUUAUCGUUUCAACUUCACAUAACAUGGGUUGACAUUUCUACUUUGUGUGAUUCAGAUACUAUACACAAUUUGACCAAACGUAUUGUUUAACAUUAGAACAAACGAAUAAAAUAAUAGUAUCAUCUAAAUGGUAAAAAUAGAGUGGAUGUUAUCGUUUCUACUUCGCCUGGUCCAAACGUUAUAUAAAAUAGGGAAAAUGGUCUGAUAUACCCUCAACUUUGUCAUUAGAGCUGAUAUACCUUGUUAUGAAAGUGACUCAUAUAUACCCCUACUAUUAUACAAAUGGCUCAUAUAUAGGGGUAUAUAUGAAUCACUUUCAUAACGAGGGAUAUAUCAGCUCUAAAUGACAAAAUUGAGGCGUAUAUCAUACCCUUUUCCCUAUAUUUUAUCAGACACUAAACAAACUAAUAAAAAAUAGUACAAUUUGAAAUGUAACUAUAGAGUAGGAUGUUAUCAUUUCUACCUUGCAUAACAUGGGUUAGGCAAGAGUUAUAGACACAAACAUAGACAUGCAUAUAGAUGUAGGAUAAGAGGAAGAAAUCAAUUCAUGUUUUGAGCAUUAUCCUUUUUUCUUAGACAAAUCAAGAAGUGGCUAUAACAUGGGAUUGUCUCACAUAUUAAUUUUAGAAUACAACAUAUGCCAAACAAGUGAAAGGAGAUAUAAAAAUAACAAAUAAAAAAGGGGAAAAAGCCAAGCUAAUCUUCACAAAAGCUAUAUUUCCAUUCACACUUUAAAAAGGUAGCUAGGAGAUAGUAAUAAGUGGAUGAAAGCUUGGCCCUCUUUUUUUACUUUUUUCUUAGACAUAAAGCCCUUUUGGUUUUUGCUUUGCCUUGUUAUGAAUUAUAUAUAUAUAUAUAUAAUUCAUUGUUUGGUUUUUCUCUUUGUAAGAGUUCUUAUCCAUCCAUGUCUCACCUUCACACCUUCUAAUUUGGUGCCCACAUGAUUAGCAUUACCACCUUUGGUAGAUGAUCUCUUUAAUUUAAUGAGAUGGAAGAUGUGACCAAUCCGCUUUCGCCACCUAAGUUGCAUACGUGGCUUUGUAACAUGCUCUAUUAAUGCAACUUUAUUAGACAUAUUAUUAUUGUUAUUGUCACAAUGCUUAAUUAGUGACAACUUUGGUACUGUGCCAACUGCUCCCUUCUCCCAUGAGCCUACUCCAUUAUUUUCAAACUUUAUUGAGAUAAAAGAAUCUACAAACAACAAAAGAGUUGAGAGUUAGAUCUAUAAAAUAAUGAGUAAAAAACAAUGAUUGUUGUUAUUUUACUUGCAUUUAAAGUCAAUUCAUAUCAACAACAAAAACCAAAAAAAAAAAUCUCAAUAAAAAAGCUAGAUAGUCAUAUUUGAAUGAAUUACUAGUUAUUAGAGAGUUAUAAGCAGUGCUGGAGCUAUAAUUUUCAUUAAGGAUAAUGAAAAAAUAAAGAAGUAUAUAUACAAACUAGCUGAAGGGUUUCAAUAUAUGUACAUAAAAAAUAUUUUAAUCAAGUAUAAAAAGUAUAAUUUUUCACCGAAGAUAGCUCCACUCCUAAUUAUAAGUAUGCAACAAUUAUAUUAACUAUACUUCAUAUGCAAGGUUAAUUUGCGUAACACAUAAUUUUGUAAUACUAUAGUAUAAGUACAUGCACUUUUUAUGGAAAGUUUGCACAAAACUCAACUAUGAAAACAGAAUACAAUUGAAAAUAUAAAAGUUAAAAAGGAACAUGUAGAUAAUCAUAAAAAAUUUUUAUUAAAAAGGCACUUAUUUGGUGCUAGUCGUUAUUCACUUGCUACCUAAUGUUCAAAAUUACUGUUUUUUCCUAUUAACUUAUUUUUCAAGUAAAUUGGGUUUUGUAUCUUUGUAGUUUGCAUGUUGUAGUUUUUUGAUUAUAUAUUCACGUGAACUCAUAACUUUCGACCUGAACUAUAUGCUAGUAAAUUUGAUUUAAGUUCAUAGUUUUCAUAAAAUGCUUUAUUGUUAAAUGGAUAAAAGUAAUUGAGUAAAAUUUGUUGCUACAUUUAUCAAUUUUAUGCAUAUAAUAAUAAUAUGACAUAAAUGUCCAAAUAUAUAGAACCAAGUUAAAGUAAAGGCUGAAAAAUUCAAAAACAUCAUAAGUUCCCAAGAAAAGGGACCUGGCCAAAAGAAAGAAAGAAAAAAGGGUGGGGUGAGGGGGGUGGGUAGGGACACAAUUGCUGAUGCAAUAUAGAUUUAACAUGUUCAACUAAGUCCAACAAUUUUUAAAAAAUCUCUCUCUCUCUAUAUGUGUGUGUGUGUGUGGAGUUUAGUGAAUAGGAAAAUCUUUUACGGCUAAAUAACUAAAAUUUUAUGUUAAUUCCAUUUAGCGAUGAAUUUUAAGAAAAUUUAAUUAGUUGGGAGCUUUUUAGUUAUGGAUUAUCGAUGAAUUUUGUAGCUAAUUUCAUAUUUUCUUGUAACGAAGGGGAUUAUGAAAAAUUACAAUAUACAUGAAGUUGAAAUUAUUUUAUACCUAGAGCUAGCCUUUGACCUUAGAUUUUGAAAAUUUGUCUUUCACAUUACAUUUUGUCAAUCUAAUUUUCAAAUAUAUUUAAGCCAGUUUUGAGACUUUCACUCACAAAACUUCAGUAUUAAGUAAAAUACAUGCUCAAAUACAACUUCAGAAACUCAAUUUUAAAAUUUUAAGUUUUCAACUUCAAAAUCUAUAGCUUAAAAAGAACAUAUAAUAUAGCUAGGUUGAAUUCCCAAAGGUUUUUUCGCGUGUAUACUUUCAUCUUUUAUAAAUCUCAUUAAAAAUUCUGAUGGUCUCUUUAUCUAUAUGUAUGAAAAAAACAGUAAAAUUUCAACAAAUACGAAACUCUAGUGUAAAAAACAAUAAAUAAUGAUAUCAAUCAAUUUUAAAUUCUGAAUCGAUCCAUGAGAACUAAAGAAGGAGAAAAAGAGAAAUGAAUGGUUAAUUAUGUAGUAGUACCUUCAUAGCUACAAGUGGAAGAAACAUCAAUAUCAUGAAUAGUCUCUUUGCGUGAGUGUCUAAUAUCAAGACGAUUGAAAAAAGAGGUUAAAGCAAAUAUCUUUGGUAGAUAAUGCAUUCUUGAAUGUUCUUCUCCAUCAUCAUUAUUAAUCUUCAUCUUUUCUCUUAAAUUAAUAAUAAUCUUCUUCUUCUUCUUCUUAAUCAUCUUUUCUUGUUUAGAAGCUAAGAUUAAGAGUCUUUCAUUCAAACACAAAGCACAUACUCCCACAACCACUUCUUUUGGAUGGAAAUAACACAAACAACUAGUGUUGUCAUUCAUGUUGUUAUUAGUUAGUUUAGUUGAAGAGAAAGAGAGAGUAGUUUCAAGUUUAACAAAGUUAUAAGAGAAGUGUAACAAUAAAGAAUAUAUAUAUUGUGUGUGUGAAUAGAAUUGAAGGAAAAAGAAAAGUUUGUGUUUUGGGUGUUUUUAUGUGUGGAAAUAUAUAUGGCUUGAGCAAGUCUUUAACCCCUCCCCCACACUAUGAUCUUGACACGUAACUAAAUGUUGGUCUUUUGAUCGAGGAUGAAUUAUCAACAAUAAUUUAUGGACACAAUCUUUAAAACAUCUAAUCUGGUCUGAUGGAUAAAAAGAAAUAAUUUUGGGACAAAUUUUUAGUAGUAUAUUUUUUAAUUCUUUGUUUAAUUAUAAAGUUUGUGAUAAUUUAUCUCAAGAUUAAUAAUAAGUAUUGAAAUAAGUUAUCCCUGUCUCUAGGUGAAAUAAUAAUUUAUCUCGGGAUAAAAUAGUUAAAAUGACAAAAAUACACCUUCAACCCUUUUUUUAUACAUCACUUUUCAUAUCUUUUACAUGGAGGGUAUUUUUUUUUUUUUUUUAAUUAUAAAUAAACAACUUAAUAUUAAAAUUAUGCAAUGCAUAUUAUUUUUAAUAUAACAAAUCAAACAUAUUCCAUCAUAACUUGUCUUCAAACCAAACUAUCCCUAAAGUAUUAAUCACUCUUAAUUAAUAGUUCAAACUAUAUAUAUUAUCAGUGUAAGAAAUAACCAUAUUGUCGAGUUAUCUUCUCUUUUUUUUUUUGGUAAGUAACAUAUUGUACUAAGGGAAAAAUAUACAAAUUGGACCCAUUAGGUAAAAGUGUUUACCCAAAGUGGAUCCAAUCCAAUAUAUUUAUCCUGGUUGAAUCCAGGAUUCAAACUAAUUACCCGACCGCCCCCUUGUUCUAUUCACUAAACCCAUGCUUCUUCAUCUUUGAUAUCAUUAGAUCGUAUAUAUAUAUACUCUGAUGGUAUCGAUAGACUCAGAUGGUAUCAAGCAGUAAUUGAACAAUUUUUUUCAUUAAAACACUGCAUGUUCCUCGCUUUGAUGUCAUCAGAGUAUAUAUAUACUCUAAUAGUAUCAAAGAGUAACUGGGUAGUGUUUUCACUAAAACACUGCUUCUUCCUUAUUAAUAUCAUCAGAGUAUAUAUAUAUAUUGUACUUUGAUGGUUAAUACCAGUAAACACGCAUUAAUAGUUAAAAAUAGGACAUGGCCGCUUGUAGAUAAUUUCAAUUUUGGGGCUACAACUAUUAUUUUCCCUUGUAUUAAUCACCAAGUGAAACAUUACAAAAUCGUAGCCAAUUUGCGCUACUAGCUAACCUACUAAAAUAGAAAAACUAGAGGCCUAACCAAUUAUCUAUAGCAAAAAUAUUAAAACAUGAGUUGGUGUACAAUGUACAUAGUUCCUUAGUCCUUAAUUAGAGGCUCUCACAUUACACACAUAGUCUAUUUCUCUAGCUAUGCUAUAGUAUCCUUGAGACUUUCUCAUGUAAAUAAAUUAUGAUCCUUUAUAUAAAAGACAUGAAUCCUUUUCAACGUGCUAAGUCCCAACAUGUUUUUGGCUUUUUUUGCGGUCGUUGCUUUGUUUCGUCAAGUUAUCUUUAUAUGUUAUGGUAGGUAAUUAUCUUAUUUUUAAGAUUAGAAAUUUCAUUUUUUUUUUUUAAAUCUACUUAAACCCUCUUGUGAUGUGAGCAACUUAGGAGAUAUAGAAUGGGCAAAAUAUUUUAGUUAGGAGUAAUGUGGGGGACUAUACACUUUUUGGUAUGGGGUGUGUGUAGGGGGUGGGGGGUCACAUAAGUAGACAAGUAGAUCUACCAUUGGAACCAAAUUAAAGCUUGUAAAUAUGAUAAUGAAACUGAAAAAGCCAUCCAUCCAAAGACAUUAUAGUAUUAGUUGGACAAUUUCCAACUAAGUUAAUAGCAAUGGGGCUAUAUAUAUAUAUAUAAAGUCUUCUAAUUAAAGACUUUGGACUAUGUCUUUUGCAUUAAUUCCUCUAGACCAGUCAACUUAUCUAGAUUAAAUCAUCAAUCACUAUUUUGAAUUGUGUGAUUUAUCUCUUUCUUUAUUUUUUGUGUUUUAAAUCAAUGACUAAAAAAAUUGUCUUUUUCUUGUCUUGAGGUUAUUUUUCUCUUAAGAUAUAAAUAAUCUUUGACUAUAUUGUAUAAUCGUCAAAUAUUAAAAAGAUGGGUCAUAAUCUCAUAUUCUCACUUAAUUUUUGUUCCCUUGUUUUUUUAUAGAUAAUUUUGACUACUAAGUAGUAGAGCACAUGGCAUUAAAUCAUAGGACACAUAAAUAUCUAACACAAUAUACACGAUCUUGACUAAUUGACACAAAAAUAGUAUACAUGUUAAGUUACUCUCUCCCCGUUCAAUUUUACUUGUUCACUACUUUUAAAAAUACAAUUUUCAUUUUCAGUUGUCACUUUUAACACAUCAAGAAAAGAUUAUUAUUAUUUUUUAUUGUACCCUCAACAUUAAUACUUACACACUGAUCAAAUCAUUUCUCAAGACCUAAGAUUGAAUAUAAAUUAAUGUGAGUAUUAUGAUAAACUCUCAUAUUAAUCAUUAUUUUUAAGAGAGUGUAAAAUCUAAAAUGAACGAAUAAAAAUGACCGGAUAAGUCAAUGUUUAUUUAAUUCAUACACCUGGAAUGUUUGAAUAUAUAAAUAAAUGACUUUUAAGUUUCCCUGGAAUUUAAUGAUCUUUUGUAGUGUGUCAAAAAUAAACAUGUUAAAUAUUUGAUUUUAAUUAAGUGAAGGUGCUUUCCAUGUUCUUUGACACUGUCAUAUUUCUGCAAUUUUAAUGAAAUCAUAAUCAUAUCUAAGUCUAGGUUUAAAAUAAUUUUAAAAAUAUGUACUAAAUAGUUUUGGUCCUUUAUUUAUUUUUAUUUUUAUUUUUUUGGAAAAACUAAAAAGAAAAAUGUGUUACAUAAAUUGAGACAGAAAAAGUAAUUUUUAACAAACUUAAAGGACUAAAACUAUUCAAUUCAUACUUAAAGGACUAUUUUAAAGAUGGAUUCAAACAUAAGGGACUAUUUUUGUCAUUUUCUCUUAGAUUUUUAUUUAUUUAACAACAUAACCAAUUAAACUAAAAAGAAAUUGAGAGAAAAAUGAUGAAAUUAUAAUUUAGCCACCAAAGAAUAAAGAAUGUUUUAUUCCCUUUUUCCUUUAUUUUCACAUAUUUUCACAUCUUUUAGGCAAUUUUACAUACUUUAAUUUUUAUUAUUAUUAAUUAUAGUCAACGUGGUAAAAACUUAUUCACACCUAGUGUAUACAUCAAAUUAAUGCAAUUUUCAUAGUUACAUGAUUUAAUAAAGUAAAAGUCAUGUAUACACCAGAUGUGGGUAAGUUUUAUCUGUGUUAAAAUUAUUGAAGUUAAAUUACAUUUUACUAUGUAAUACCCUCAAAGUGUUAAAGGUAUUUUGUAAAUGCCUUUCUUUAUGAUUUUUAUAAUUAUACAAAGCUACAACUUGUUCAUACUAUCCUGUUGGAAGGAAGUUGGGCUCUUGCAGAUCUCUAGUCUAAAAUUUGAAUUGAUAAUUAUUUUACGUUUGAUAGAGUCUAGUUUCAUACCAAAUUGAAAUUAUUAUUUUGUGAUAAUUCGAAUUUCAAAUAAUGAAUUUGAAAUAAGGUUUUGAUAAUUAAAUUUUUUGUACCAAUAGUCUUUUGAUUUUCUUUUUGAAUGAAUAUUUAGCAAUUAUAAGGGAUAGAAGGAUACAUAUAUAUGAGUGGUUCUUUUUUAUUAUUAUUAUUUUGAUUUUCUUUUUGAAUGAAUAGUUAGCAAUUAUAAGGGUUAGAAGGAUACAUAUAUAUGGUGGUUCUUUUUUUUAUUUUAUUAAUAUUUAUUAAAAUGCAUUAUUUCUUUUAUUUUUUCAUUGCAAUGUAACUUGGAAAUACCUUACUUUAGUAUAUUUGUUUAUUUGCUACAGAUUCUUUAUGUUUUAUGAUGUUUAUUCCCAAGGACAAAAAAAUAUAGGUGUCAAAUUAUAUCCUAUGAUAGUGGAAACAACUCAUCAAAGGAGAAGAAAAAUGGUUCAUAUUCUAAUCCAUAUAACUCUUAUCAACUUUAAUUUUUUAAAUUAAUUUGUUAAAUUAUCAACAUACUUUUAAAGAAUCUUUAUUACGGUAUAUAACAUAUCAAGCAAAAAAAAGAAUUUUAAAAUAUAUAAAAUUUUCUCAUAAAUCAAAUCAAUUUUUAAAUGGGCUUUUACUUGGACAAGUCAAAAUUCACUUUGGAACAACGUUAAUAACAGGUCGAAAUUAUAGGUUAAAAUUGACGGACACCCGUUAGUUAUGACCUAAAACGAAGUAAGAGUCGAUGGACUAAACUACAUUAAAUAGUGGGUCAGUUAAUAUUGAGAGACGUCCAUUAAUUUUUAAAAAAUUAUAACUACAACAUCACCCACCUCCAAAAUCAAUCUUAUAAAUCAGCAUCAAUAAAAAAAAAAUUCAAACAAUUUUAUAAUAACUCUAUCCAUGUGAGCUUAAAAUAUUAAUAUUGAAUGCAUUUAAACUAUUUGGACCAAAGAGGAAUGGUAGGGGACCAAACAAAAAAAUUAAUUGACUAUUCAUACAUGUUAUGUCUACUUGUUUUAGAUUUAAGGUAUAUUUGUUUUCAAAUUAUUCCUUUAUUAUCUUAAUAUUUAAAGUAUUUUAUAAAUAUUAAUUCUCAUGUAUCAUGCACAUGAUUACACUAUUUUGAGUUUUAUAAUUUGUUUGGUUAAAGUUUUAAAAUAUGCUCAUUUUAUAAGUGUUUUUGUCGUUGGUAAUUAUUGAAAAUAAAGGUCUUUCUUAUGAAGUAUUUUUUAAAAAGAUGGUUGGAGGUUAGGAUUUUUUUUUUUUUUUUUUUUUUUAAUGGAAACAACUUUUAUUUUAUUUUGUUUUACUAAUCUCUUCAAAUCCAUCAACUUAUCACACAUUAACUGUUAUUCACUCCACUCAUUACAUAUUCUUACUUUGUCAAUGGAGUACAUUAGAAGCCUUGACUUGUGUACUUCUUACUUCUUUAUUAGUAGUUUUGUUGUAAUAGUCAGGGGUGUCAACGGAACACGGUCGGUUAUUUUUUUAAAAUUACAUUAUUUUAAUUUUUUGGAUAUUUUAUAAUAUAUAAUUAAAAUCAAACAUAUUAAAAUCAUUCCAAUUAUAUUGAUUUCUCUUCGGUAUCGAUACGGUUCGAUUAACUUUCUCUUUUUUGUUGGAAAAAUUACGUGUAUAAGCAAAUAUAUACUAGUUAAUUAGUUAACAUAACUAUAGUUUACCUUAAUUAUAAUUUGUGACCUACUUUUAGCAAUAAUUACGCAGCUCAACUUUUUAGUUUUGUAUAAUUCGCACGUUUGUAUAAUUCGGAAUUUGUAUAACUUUUGUAUAAUUCAGAAUUUGUAUAAUAUAAUUUAUAUAAACAGUUUAUACUUCUGAUGUUUGUAAUUGUAUAAAUUUGUUAUUUUGAGUUUAUACAAAAAUAACUGAAUUAUACAAAUGUAUCCGCGAAUUAUACAAAUGUACUCGCAAAUUAUAUAAACCUACGAAUUAUACAAAUCCGCGAAUUAUACAAACGAGACAACUUAAACUGUAGCUACAACCCGUAAAUAUACAAACUAUAGCUAUGAAGCAUAAUUAAAUUUAUUAUAAUGGCUAUUUGUGAAAGUUCCCCCUCUUUUUUUUACUUUUAAAAUAUCACCUCAAAAUAUACUACUAUUAAUAUAUUUCUUUCACAAAUAUGUUCCUGAUGAAGCACUUUAAUUAUUCACCGAAAAGGCAAGAAUGUAAAACCUUGUUGCCGUAUUGUUAAAUAUUUAAUAGGAGUGUGUGGAUAGGUUUUGUUGUAUUGUUUGAUAGAGUAUCUAUUACAGUAUCUUUUAAUUUUCAACAUAAUUAAGUAAAGGCUAAUUAAAGAGCAAAAUCCAAAAAACCUAAGUUAUAUUUAUAUUUGAAAAAUGUUAUAAAAUAUAUCUAUAUAUUAAAUUUAACAUAUUGUUAAUAUAUAAAAUAUAUUUACAUACAUGUAAGGUUAUUCGGUUCGGUUAGGGAAUUUUUCAAUUUUUUUCAUAAAUUAAAAAGACCAUCCAAUUGUUCCGAACAGUUGUACACUUAAAUAAACAUUCACGAUUUUAUUGAAAAAAUAGCAUAAAUCGGUUUGAUUGGUUUGGUCAAUUUUUCAUAUUCUUUUGACACCCCUAUUAUAGUAAAAAGUCAAAUAGUCAAUCAACUAAAUUAUCAAAAUUUCUCUCCACAUUACUUUUUAUUUGUAAGAAAGGAGAAAAAUUAUCAAAGUGAUUUAUUUUAUGUCUUCUUAAUACUUGACCGUUUGAAUAAUAUUUAAUCAAAGUAUUUGAACUCCAAUUUUUACUCUAAUAUACAAAUGAUGAUACCCCCAAACUUACUUUUUUUUAAAACACAUUAUUACAUAGAGGUAGCAGAAAGAAAAAGGGGAGGAAAUUAUAAAGUGGGGAUUCGAAUUCUCACCAAUAAGGUGAAAAUUGUGUAGUCAACCAAUUGAACUACUUAAAUCUCCCAAACUUGUUAUUACUUCAAUAUAAAAAUGUAUGAUCAUAAGUUAUGUCAACAUACUCAUAUUGUUGAGACUUGAGAGUUGAGACUACAUAAAUAAAUCGUUAAUGAAUUCUCCUGCUUUUUGACGAAGUUUUUUUUUACCCUCUCCAUUUUUUUUUGUGUUCAUUUAGUCACUUGAACCCACAACAUUAAAGUUGGAGGUAGAAAAUGUUUAAACAUCAAUAUGAUGUUUUUCAACAAAGGUAGCAUCACAUUGAUGUUUAACAUUAAAGUUGGAGGUAGAAAGUAUUUAAACAUUAAUAUGAUGUUUUUCGACAAAGGUUGCAUAACAAUGAUGUUUAAAUAAAUUGAGUAGUUACUAGUUAAAUUAGUUAAAUUGUAUUAGAUUGUACAGUACUACAUAAAUUCAGAGAUAGUUUUUUUUUACCAUUCUAAGAUGUCUCAAAAUGGAAAGUAUUUCGUGUAAAUAAGGAAGUGUUUGACUAAGGAUAAGAUUAGGAAUGAAGAUAUUUAGGAUAAGGUGGGAGUGACCUCUGAAGUGGAUAAGAUGAGAAAAGUAAGAAUGAGAUAGUUUAGGCACGUGAAGAGGAGAUGUAGACUUCCCAAAGAAGAGGUGUGAGAAGUUGAUUAAUGGUGUGAGUCGAGAGAUGUAAAGUAUCUGAGUGUUUUCCAGCAAGAUCGACUUGGUGGUCAUACUUGUACCUAUUUUUACCAAUAGUAUUAGCACUAUUCUAUAGUUUCUUCUUCUUCUAUUUCGGUUAUCACUUGUUUUUUUUUUGCACUCGAUUAUCACACUAUUUCACUGUCAUUACUAUUCACUCUUCUAUAUGUUAUAUACUCUUCAUUUUGCUUUGUUUCAUUGAUGUUACUACUUUAAUUUCUUCAUUCUCUUUUUCAAAACUGAUUUGCAAUAAAGACCUUUGGUAAACUUCUCUAUCUCUACAAUAUAGAGAUGAAGGUCCACAUACACUGAACACUGGGUAUGUUUUUCUUUAGGCAAGUGUCAGACUAAACAUUUCUCAUUACUAACAAAUGAGGUUCAAAACAAUAGAUCCAACAAAAUAAAAGUUGAAAAGAAACUAAUGCCAACGCUCAAUAAAGCGAUUUCAGGCACAUUAAAAAAAAAGAUUAAAACUCAUCCUCAAUAGAUCAAAGUAGGCUAAGGUAUACCUCAGUCUUCACCAUUUAUGAUAUUUAUCUUGUACAAACCGAGGGGGAAAUCAAAGAAGCUACAAUGUAAACUAAUAACGAAAUAUAGCAUACAAUUCUCCAAACUGAUGACACCCUGUUGGUCAAAAGGACCAACCCUCAUCAUCAUUCUGACCAAAAAUCAGUUACCUAGACAAAUUUUCCAUGUUGCACUACAAAAUGAAGAAUGAAGUAAUCAUCAUCACAGGAUUUGGGCAGCAGUGUUUAGUUUUUCUGCGAAACUCAGUUGUGUCCUUGUGAGGCUUGCCAAGUAGAGCAAGAGCAAUUGAUCCU